This 55405-nucleotide long non-coding RNA is filed under the name Nicotiana tabacum (common tobacco). Its description in RNAcentral is "long non-coding RNA (NTAB_LNC009754)". The record is from RNAcentral. Lineage: Eukaryota; Viridiplantae; Streptophyta; Magnoliopsida; Solanales; Solanaceae.
CAUCCCACUUCUUUUCCUUAUAUCCCCUAACCAAACCUUAAUCCUUAUUUUCUCACCACCAGCCGCCUCUCUACUCCCGUUUCUCUCAUCACCCCUCUGCCUCUCCUAAAACCUAGCCGCCUCACCUCAGCCUAAACCUAGUUCGACAUGGAGAUCCUCUAUAUUUCCCUUUCCUUUUUUGACUGUAAAAAUGUUGCUUCCCCGUUUCUUGAUUUGGUUCAUUUGGUAUCGAUUGAUUUAUGGAAGGUUAUCACCGGCUUUGAUUCUGGAUAUUUACCAUAUUCUUGAGUUGAUACACUCAAGACAGGGCCACCCGAGUUCAGUUUAAUGAGAUCCUUUGAUAUUUUGAUUCCUCUACCGAAUUAGGGUUUGCUCGAUUUUGCCCUAAUCCAAUUUGAAAUUGGUUUACAUGAGAUUGUUUCCUUAUUUCUGUGAUUCGAUUGAUUCUUCUUUCUUUUUCAUUGUGUGAAUUGAGUACUAUAUAAGCACCCUCCUCAAUUUUUCCUUUGGGACAGACUUUAGUCACUAUCUCUCUCACUCCUACCGGUUCUAAUUUGUUCUGGUUCUUUGAAUACUACUAUUGUUUGAUUGUGUUCUUAGCCGACUAAAAGCCAAGGCAACCAUGGUAUCAUUCAAAGCCUCCCCCGGUACAAGCACUGCUCAGAGCCCUUUGAGGCUUCUGUGAACUUUGAAGUACCGUAGACCUUGGAGUUCUCAAUGCUUUCCUUCAUAUGCAAUUGCUGUAGAACUACAGUUGAAACUCGUCUCUUGUUAUUUUUGCUCGCUUCUCUUUGCAACUGGUUAGUGCUCUUGAACCCUACAAUUUAAUUGUUACAUUAAUAUUUUUAGAUUACCUCUUUAUUUGUUCGUAUUUAUGUUCAUUCUAUAUGCCACUACUGUCUGAACUCUUAUCAAAAAAUAGAAAAGCAUGACUUAGAUUUUUCUGCAAUUUGUGAAUCAAAAUAUUAUAUUGUGUUAUAUGCUUUGCUGCAAUUUCAUUGUCAAGGUGUUGUUAUGAGGAUUCAUCUCUACAAAUGUUAAGUUUGCUCAAGUUUUAGUACCUCUAAUGUGAAUCUUUGUCAUAUAUAACUAUACUUAUCUAUGUGAAUGAAAUGGACCCGGAGGACUGUUAAAAUAUCGAUCUGGGUCCGUUUACAUAAAAUGUUAACCGUAGUCAACUCAAGUCAAUAAGACACUGACUGCACACACAAUUUGAAAGACGCUAAACAGAGCUAUUCGAGGCCUCAAAAUGCGUAAAUAGAGGCUAAAUCUCAAAAUGACCUAUCGGGUCAUCACAACAGCAAAUCCUAAAUUACCGCGAGUCAGUGAACAUAUGGAGUUGGAAUCUCUAUGCAAAUUUAGCACAUAAAAAUUGUAGUUUUUGAAAAAAAUUUAGUAUUUGAAGUUAAGUUGAAAAAUAAUAUUUGGAAUCUGAAAUUAUAUUUGGACAUGUAUUACACUUGAAAAAAUAUCGCGGUUUUGUGAAUGGGAAAACAAAAAUUUCUGAAAAUUUUGAGAAGUGGUCAAAACUACUUUUUGGUUUUUGAAAAACUCAUUUUCAAAAUAUUUCUAAAAACUUGCAAAAUUUCAUGGUCAAACAUGUUUUGAAAAAAAAUCGAAAAAAGGAAAAAAAAUAUCUAUGGACAAACGGGUCCUUAAUCGAUGGAAUAUUAGGGUUUUUCAUUUACAGAAACUUGUUUGUUCCCUUACAUCUUGAAUAUUAUUAUCCAUUCUGUCUCAAAAUGAAUCAUAAAAUUUGGAGUGAGAACGUUAACUUAUGUUUUUGAACUGGUGAUAUUCCCUUAACUACAGAUUCAAUAGCACCAGUUAUGAACCCCAAAAAUAACAGAAAAGAGAGCACCGUCUACUCAGACUGUCAUACUUUAUAAGAAUAGAGGCUGAUCUAGGAUUUGAAGGUCAAGGUGUUUAUGUUACUUUGGACUUUGACUUGAUCUCUUUUGAGUUUCGGUUGGGGUUAUUCGUCUUUUUGAUUUAUAUAGACAAAUCGAUCAAAUAAAAUAUUUUAAUAAUUAUGGUGAGCAAAGCAUAAAACUUCAAUAACAUAACUAAUUUCAACAAAAUAUUAGUAAUAUUAUUUAUUUACAAUGGUCUUCAACGACUUUUCAUAUUUUAGAGUCAUAGUUGAACUAAAAGAUGGACAAAUAGGACUAAAACUCGCUAUAGAUGCAUAUUUAGAUACUCAAAGCAAAAACUUACUUAAUAAAUACUAGAAAUAUUUUUUAGAACAGUAUAAACUUUGAAAUAAAAUCAAGAAUUUAUAAAACUAAAAACGUCAAUAGGAACUUGUAAGGAAAAAGAGUGUGCAACAAUUGAAGAAAAGGAAGAAAGAAGAAAUAAGUAAAAGAAAGAAAAGAAGAAGCAAAUAAGAAAAAGAAAAGAAGAAAAAAUAAGAACAAAUCUCCCAGCGAAACAAAGUAAUUUUAAAAAUGCAGUAACCUAGGUCGAUCUCAGGCCUGGAGUGCGAAACAUUAAGCCGUGGGCCAGUGGCACCAAGCAGCAACAUGGUACUUCAGGAUGUGUGUGUGUACAAACAAGGUUUCAAUCGAGGUGUGGGUGGCGUGCCAUCUCCUUCCUCCUUGGUAGAUCCGCCCCUGUAUAAGAAUGAUUUUUUCUGUGAGAAUUUAAACUUGUACUCCAACUAAUUUGAUAAUUAGUAAAGUAGCAAUUUUUAUAGUGAAAAUAUUUGUAAAGAUUAUAAUAUUUUUUAUUUCUGUAACAACAAUAAAAAUAAUAUAAUGCCAUUACUUGUUUUUUUAGAUAGAGAGUACAAUUUUACAAAUGACUUGGAGUAGCUCACAUAAUAUCCUUAGUUCUCCAUUUCCCUAAUAAAUAAGUUAGUAACCUUCAAUAACCACAAAAAAAUAAAAAAAUUAGAUUUUGUUAUAAAACAAUAAAAGAAGAAGAAGAGUAUUGCAGAGAAAAGUAGAGAGAGAGAAUUCUCAUUGAUUUGGGAUGAAUUAUAAUGGAAUAGAACCUCUCUAUUUAUAGAGAAAAAGUGACUUAGCCACAAAGUAACAAACUUUAGAAUCUCUCUAAAAUAUAGACAUUCACCUUAAAUAAAAUUAUAUUUAUAAUACUCCCCCUUGAAUGUCUAUUCAACAGAUAAUAUGCCUCGUUAAAACCUUAAUUAAAAUGAAACCCAAUAGAAAAAAAAGUUUAGAGAAGGAAAAAGAGUACACAUAUUUAGAAAUACGCCUUUUGGUUGGCUCGUUAAAAACUAGCAAGGAAAACCAUAGUGGGGACAAAACCUUGUAAGGAAAAAAGAGUGCAAUACAUAUUNNNNNNNNNNNNNNNNNNNNNNNNNNNNNNNNNNNNNNNNNNNNNNNNNNNNNNNNNNNNNNNNNNNNNNNNNNNNNNNNNNNNNNNNNNNNNNNNNNNNNNNNNNNNNNNNNNNNNNNNNNNNNNNNNNNNNNNNNNNNNNNNNNNNNNNNNNNNNNNNNNNNNNNNNNNNNNNNNNNNNNNNNNNNNNNNNNNNNNNNNNNNNNNNNNNNNNNNNNNNNNNNNNNNNNNNNNNNNNNNNNNNNNNNNNNNNNNNNNNNNNNNNNNNNNNNNNNNNNNNNNNNNNNNNNNNNNNNNNNNNNNNNNNNNNNNNNNNNNNNNNNNNNNNNNNNNNNNNNNNNNNNNNNNNNNNNNNNNNNNNNNNNNNNNNNNNNNNNNNNNNNNNNNNNNNNNNNNNNNNNNNNNNNNNNNNNNNNNNNNNNNNNNNNNNNNNNNNNNNNNNNNNNNNNNNNNNNNNNNNNNNNNNNNNNNNNNNNNNNNNNNNNNNNNNNNNNNNNNNNNNNNNNNNNNNNNNNNNNNNNNNNNNNNNNNNNNNNNNNNNNNNNNNNNNNNNNNNNNNNNNNNNNNNNNNNNNNNNNNNNNNNNNNNNNNNNNNNNNNNNNNNNNNNNNNNNNNNNNNNNNNNNNNNNNNNNNNNNNNNNNNNNNNNNNNNNNNNNNNNNNNNNNNNNNNNNNNNNNNNNNNNNNNNNNNNNNNNNNNNNNNNNNNNNNNNNNNNNNNNNNNNNNNNNNNNNNNNNNNNNNNNNNNNNNNNNNNNNNNNNNNNNNNNNNNNNNNNNNNNNNNNNNNNNNNNNNNNNNNNNNNNNNNNNNNNNNNNNNNNNNNNNNNNNNNNNNNNNNNNNNNNNNNNNNNNNNNNNNNNNNNNNNNNNNNNNNNNNNNNNNNNNNNNNNNNNNNNNNNNNNNNNNNNNNNNNNNNNNNNNNNNNNNNNNNNNNNNNNNNNNNNNNNNNNNNNNNNNNNNNNNNNNNNNNNNNNNNNNNNNNNNNNNNNNNNNNNNNNNNNNNNNNNNNNNNNNNNNNNNNNNNNNNNNNNNNNNNNNNNNNNNNNNNNNNNNNNNNNNNNNNNNNNNNNNNNNNNNNNNNNNNNNNNNNNNNNNNNNNNNNNNNNNNNNNNNNNNNNNNNNNNNNNNNNNNNNNNNNNNNNNNNNNNNNNNNNNNNNNNNNNNNNNNNNNNNNNNNNNNNNNNNNNNNNNNNNNNNNNNNNNNNNNNNNNNNNNNNNNNNNNNNNNNNNNNNNNNNNNNNNNNNNNNNNNNNNNNNNNNNNNNNNNNNNNNNNNNNNNNNNNNNNNNNNNNNNNNNNNNNNNNNNNNNNNNNNNNNNNNNNNNNNNNNNNNNNNNNNNNNNNNNNNNNNNNNNNNNNNNNNNNNNNNNNNNNNNNNNNNNNNNNNNNNNNNNNNNNNNNNNNNNNNNNNNNNNNNNNNNNNNNNNNNNNNNNNNNNNNNNNNNNNNNNNNNNNNNNNNNNNNNNNNNNNNNNNNNNNNNNNNNNNNNNNNNNNNNNNNNNNNNNNNNNNNNNNNNNNNNNNNNNNNNNNNNNNNNNNNNNNNNNNNNNNNNNNNNNNNNNNNNNNNNNNNNNNNNNNNNNNNNNNNNNNNNNNNNNNNNNNNNNNNNNNNNNNNNNNNNNNNNNNNNNNNNNNNNNNNNNNNNNNNNNNNNNNNNNNNNNNNNNNNNNNNNNNNNNNNNNNNNNNNNNNNNNNNNNNNNNNNNNNNNNNNNNNNNNNNNNNNNNNNNNNNNNNNNNNNNNNNNNNNNNNNNNNNNNNNNNNNNNNNNNNNNNNNNNNNNNNNNNNNNNNNNNNNNNNNNNNNNNNNNNNNNNNNNNNNNNNNNNNNNNNNNNNNNNNNNNNNNNNNNNNNNNNNNNNNNNNNNNNNNNNNNNNNNNNNNNNNNNNNNNNNNNNNNNNNNNNNNNNNNNNNNNNNNNNNNNNNNNNNNNNNNNNNNNNNNNNNNNNNNNNNNNNNNNNNNNNNNNNNNNNNNNNNNNNNNNNNNNNNNNNNNNNNNNNNNNNNNNNNNNNNNNNNNNNNNNNNNNNNNNNNNNNNNNNNNNNNNNNNNNNNNNNNNNNNNNNNNNNNNNNNNNNNNNNNNNNNNNNNNNNNNNNNNNNNNNNNNNNNNNNNNNNNNNNNNNNNNNNNNNNNNNNNNNNNNNNNNNNNNNNNNNNNNNNNNNNNNNNNNNNNNNNNNNNNNNNNNNNNNNNNNNNNNNNNNNNNNNNNNNNNNNCAUAAAAAUCCGAAAAUUUACCUCAAAAAUCGUCAGUGGGGCCCACGUCUCGUAACUCGACAAAAGUUAUAAUAUCCGGAAGCCCAUUCAACCACGAGUCUAACCAUAUCAAUUUUACCAAAAUCCGACCUCAACUUGACCCUCAAAUCUUCAAUUUAAACCAAGAGGGUUUUCUAAAUUUUUCAACUUAAUUCACCCAUUAAAUGAUGGAUUCAAAGACAUAAUCAUGAAAAUUAAUUAAAACUGGAUAAGAAUCACUUACCCCAAACACCCACGCAAGAAUCUCUCUAAAAAUCGCCUUCUUCCGAGCUCCCAAUUCAAUUUUGUGCUAUGAACUCAAAACUCCCGUUUUGGAACUUUUAGUUUUGCCCAGAAAUGCCUUCAUCGCAUUCGUGACCAUGGCUUUGCGUUCGCGAAGCACAAAAAUGUGCUGCAGAGGUUCCUUCUUCACGUUCGUGACUUCUUCAUCACGUUCGUGAUGCCUUCCUACCUCUGCCCUUCGUGUUCGCGAGACACGAGCCGCGUUCGCGAAGGCUUAACGCCAGGUAGGCCCCAACUCCCUUUCCUCUUCGCAUUCGCGUCAGCCCACUCGCGUUCGUGUAGGCUUCCCCAGUCUCUUCUUCGCGUCCGCAUCUCCUUGCUCGCAUUCACGAUGGGUAAAUCCCAGGAGCCUAAAUUCCUUCUUCGCAAAUGCGUGAGACCCUUCGCGUUCACGAAGAACAAUACCAGAUAUCAGUUCCAGCAGUUGCAAAACAAGGAAAAAUGAUCCGAAACCAUCCCGGAACUCACCCGAGCCCUCCGAGACCUCAACCAAAUAUACCAACAAGUCCUAAAACAUCAUACGAACUUAGUCGAACCCUCAAAUCACCUCAAACAACGCUAAAACCAUGAAUUAUACCCCAAUUCAAGCCUAAUGAACUUUGAAAUUUCUAAUUUCUACAAACGACUCCGGAACCUAUCAAAUCACGUCCGAUUGACCUCAAAUUUUGCACACAAGUCAUAAAUGACAUAAAGGAGGUAUUCAAAUUUUUAGAAUCGGAUUUCGACCCCGAUAUCAAAAAGUCAACCCCCCGGUCAAACUUCUCAAAAAUUUGACUUUCGCCAUUUUAAGCCUAAUUCCACUACGAACCUCUAAAUAAUUUUCCGGACACACUCCUAAGUCCAAAAUUACCAUACGGAGCUAUUGGAAUCAUCAGAAUUCAAAUCUGAGGUCGUUUACACAUAAGUCCACAUCCGGUCAAUUUUCUAACUUAAAUUUUUAAUUAUGAGACUAAGUGUCUCAUUUCACUCUGAAUUUCUUCCGGACCCGAACCAACUAACCCGAUAAGUCACAUAUCAACUGUAAGGCAUAAAUUGCACAGUAAAUUGGGGAAUGGGGUUAUAAUACUCAAAACGACCGGCCGGGUCGUUACAUUCUCCCUCACUUAAGCAUAUGUUCGUCCUCGAACGUGCCAAGAGUUGUUUCCAAGCCAUCAAAUCACUAUUCCGUAUUACCACGCACGUACCCGGGGGUGAUCUCACGUCACCCUAUUCUAUAUAGGCCUGACCAAACAACAUAACUAAAAAUUAUUAAUUUAGCAUUAGCCCAUAAAUCUUGGAAUCCAAUUUCCAAAAUCCAAAAAUUUCUUUCGAAGACCCGAAUCUCACAUCUACACUCUGUAUGAGUCUUAACAAGCUGUAUCCCGCCAUAACCAUAAUCCCAAAUAUAAUCACAUAACAUACUACACAACUCACAUACUCGUAGCACCAUUUCUGAUCACAGUAACUACUCAAAACCAACCAAGUACUAGUAUAAAAUGCCGCAUUCAACAGAACCUCAUUCCAAAACCUUCGUACACUGCCCAUAAUGAAAGAAACAAUCAAAAACUCAUAACCACUCAUCAGAUCAACUAGCCAUGGAGCUAUCUCGCCCCAACCAGAACCACAAUCCUCUCUUAAGCCGACUUUCAAUAUUAUCCUCCCAAUAUACCGGAAUCAAACCUGAUAGUAUCCAUUCUAGGUCCAAUAACCUUAUAUUAUUAAAUACAACUAUCCCAUUGACAUGCCACACCAAUGCAACUCAAUCCACAACUACACAACCUUGUACCCAAAAUGGAAGAUGUCUCAAAGUAGAGAACCGUAUUGUAAGUUCAACAAGCACCACCACAACUGUAAUGCUAUAAGCUCAUUAUAUAUAGUAGAACCAAGACACCCAAAUUUAAUAUCAGUAACCAGCUCUUCUAGAGCUCAUAUUUACAUCACUCGCACGGACAACUCACGUGCUAUAGUAUCAAUAUCUGAACCCGCAUGAAUAACUCACGUGCCAAUAAUAUCAGUAAUUUGAAUAUCAACAGUCUAUCAAUCAGGAGAGUACCGUAAUACCAAUGAACAUCCGUAAAUGAAAACACAAUGCCCCUUUCAACCGCACACCCUUCUGAGGGAUUACCGAGUAACUAUAACAUUCCUCUAAAUAUAUAACACUGACCAUUCCAUCCAGAAUUCGUGAUCUUCCUUUCAAGAAUGAACUGCCACCUCGUACAUAUAAAUCUAAAUCCCGCACUACACACCACAUCUAUCACUUGAAAAGCACGAGAAUCUCAUUAUAAACUCUGAGUCACCAGCAAAUUACAUACCCUAUUAGUUGGAAACUUUUCUCUUUCUUAUUUCUAGGAGGAAAUCACAAGGCACAACACGUUUCCCAUACCGGUAGAAAAUAUCUGGUUCAAAUCAUGGUAGAAACCAUUAAGAACACUUUGAAAUCUAUUUUCACCUAAUCAAGCUAUCAGAACUAAUUUCCUUUAUCUCGUCCAAGCCACGCUGGUCACCAAAAUACAAAAAUAUUGCCACCAAAACAUCUAUAAAGCCUCUACAUCAUUAUUACCCAAAAGAACUGAGCAUGCCAUUACCAUACUGGUCUAGCCUACUACCUAGUAGUCCUAUUUUUCUCCGAGGUUCUCCUGAAUUACCCUCAAGUUGACGUUUCUCAAUUAGAACACUACUACCCUUAUCCAAAGCUCACUAUAAGACAUCCCAACAUAAAACCACACCGUCCUAAGGUCCAUAAGCCAUUGUAUUCUUCUUAAGCACCACAAAAGUACCACAACCACAACACUCACUUUGAAAAUACCUUAUGUGAAUUUAAAAUUAUUCUUUCCUCUUUCUUAUACUAGAAUGUGGAAUCCAUAGUCAUAUAGAAUUACCGCAAGUCCUGCACCAUCCAGUGCAAUAACCGAUUCUGGGGAUAUACAAAUUCCGGAAAAAAAAAUUCAAUUGACACAUAUACAUUUUGAAUCCAUUAUAACCCUUUCAAAAGUCACCCACUAUGCUCAAAUCUAAAUUGCACUGCCCGAAUGGGCCAAAAGACACAAUCCCCCAUUAGCACAACAGCCCCCAAAGAAGCAACCCUGCCUUAACACCACUAAUCAAAUUCAUACUCCGUGCGUACUACAUCCUUCAAAAUAAUAAUUUAAUCAUCUCAUGAUCAUAAAGUGAAAUAUAACCCGCAUUCAAGAAAUUUUCUUACUCAAAUCAUCCCCGAUCUUAACCUCUGCAAGUCAUAACUAAUCCAUAAGUGUACCUCAGAACGAAACCAAUACCGCACAAAAUCGCGCAAUCAAAUCGUAGAUAGCAGACUCCCCCACUUGGCCCAAAGCCAUAUAUCAAAACAUCUGAUAUCUCACCAUACCCAGAUAAUAGCUAAAUUGACCAUACUAAGCAAUAAAAGAUUAACUCUAGUCUCGUCCCCCAAUAAUUUCCACCCACGACCGAUACACCUGGUACAUAAUUAUAGUAUCGCCCACUGGCGUAGAUACAUGAACAGGUGAAACUAAGGACUCACGAGGCAUAUCCAGAAAAUGAACAAAAAUAUGAUGAAAAUACGAAUAUGUGGAACCAGGGUCAAAUAAUAUAGAUGCCUCCCUGUGGAACACUGAGACAAUACCUGUGAUCACUGCAUCUGAAGCAAUAAUAUCUGGUCUGGAAGGAAAAGCAUAGAAUCGACCCUGACCGCCACCGGAUUGGCCUCCCCCUCUUGGGCGACCCCUAGCUGACUGAGCCCCACUCGAGCUGGCUGAGUGGGUGGUGGAGCAACUGGUGCAGAAGUAGUAGCCUGACUCCUCUGCUGAACAUGACCUCCUGUAUGGCGGGGACAAUAUUUCCUCACAUGGCCCAGCUCUCCACACUCAUAGCACUCCAUCUCGAAGAAUGGUGGCGAGUUCUGAGGCGGACCUCGGGAACCAGAAUAACUACUAGAAGGACCCGGUACAUAUGAUCCCUGAACUGAUGGUGCACGGAGCAUACUCGGGGCUGGAAGUGCACUGAGAGCUGACUGACUCUGAUGAGAACUGUAUGAACCAUGGCUGGAUGAUGCACCAUGGUGAACUGGACGACCCCUGUUGUGGUAGAACUGCCCUCCAGAAGGUACCCCACCAAAAUGGCCCGAACCUCAAGGCGUCUUAGCCUCCUUGUCACCACACUCCUAGCUACGGACCACCUCUAUCUGUCGAGAAAUGUCAACCACCUCGUCAAAAGUGGCACCAGAUAUCCUCUCCCUAGUCAUAAGCAACCACAGUUGAUACGUGAGGCCAUCAAUGAACCUCCUAAUCCUCUCCCUAUCAGUGGGAACCAACCAAACUGCGUGAUGAGCCAACUUAGAAAAUCUCAUCUCGUACUGCGUCACGGUCAUGCCAUCCUAACGUAACUGCUCAAACUGUCUGCGCAGCUCGUCUCUGCGAGACUGCGGUACAAACUUCUCCAAAAAGAGAAUGGAGAACUCUUACCAUGUAAGUGGUACUGUACCAAUCGGCCUGCACCUCUCAUAAGCCUCCCACCUUCUGAAGGCAGCCCCAGAAAACUAAAAAGUAGUGAACGAGACCCCACUGGUCUCCAGAAUACCUGCUGUCCGAAGCAUCCGUUGGCACUUAUCCAGAAAAUCCUGAGCAUCCUCUGACUCAGCCCCACUAAAUGAUGGAGGUCGAAGCCUCCCAAAUCUCUCAAGUCUUCUCUGCUCAUCAUUUGCCAUAAUAGGGACUACCGGGGCCUGAGCGGCUACAACUAGCUGGGCUGGUAGUGCCCCCGGUAUCUGAAGUUCCUGUACUACAUGGUCUGGAGUACGAGCAACAUGGGUAUGAGUACCUCCCCCGGCCUGAGAAGUGGCAGGUGCAGCCUGAGUCAAAACCACAUGAGCAAGACCAGUGCAAACUGUCAAUAUCUGAGCCAAAGUCUCCUGAAGGCCUGGAAUCUCAAUGGGCACAGCUGGUGCAACUGGUGGUACUACAGGUGUUGGUCCCACUAUGGUAUGAGCUAAACCUUGACCUCUACCUCGGCCCCGGCCUCUACUACGAUCUCGGCCUCUCGCGGCCCUAACUGUUGGCUGACCGUCCGAUCUGGGAGUACGUGUCCUCACCAUAUGUGAGAGAAUAGAAUAACAUGACUUUUAGUUUCCAGAAUCAACAAGUUCGCACGACUGAAUACAAUAAAGUGAAAUUUCCUAAGGGUUCGGCAUCCUCUCUAAGAUAAGUACAGACGUCUCCGUACCGAUCCGCAAGACUCUACUAAACCUGCUCAUGACUCGUGACACCUAUGUAACCUAGAGCUCUAAUACCAGCUUGUCACGACCCAAAAUCUUACCUGUCGUGAUGGCGCCUAUCUCAAUACUAGGCAAGCCAAAAAUCUCAAUUAACCACAAUAUCUUUUAAAUUUGAAAACAUAAUAAUUAAAUUCAGCUGAAGAAACUCACAAUUUCAAAUAUAACACUCCCAAAACCCAGUGUCACUGAGUACAAGAGCAUCUAAUAUGAAUAAAAAGUCUGACUGAUUAAAUCACUGUCUGAAAAUAUAGAACAGUACAAUAAUUAAAUAGGAAGGGAAUCAAGUUUGCGGAUGUCAAGCAGCUACCUUUAUAUUCCCCAACAGAAUUAACUUCGAAAUCUAGCAGCCGCCGUAUCCGGGAGCACCUGGAUCUGCACACGAGGUGCAGAGUGUAGUAUGAGUACAACUAACUCAAUAAGUAACAAGACUAACCUCUGGGCUGAAAGCAAUGACGAGCUCCGCAGGUACAGUCUAGUAUAAAUAAUGGUAAAAAAAUGUAGGCAUGCUUUCAAGUUUAACAGUUAAACUUAGUACAAGUGAAAUAGAUCAAUACUCCAUGAUAUGAGGUAUAUGACAUCUCAGUAGAAAGACCUAAUGUAAAUACUAGUCACAAAUAAUCCGGUCACUCGGUACUGUUUAUGGCCAAUCCAACCUAGGGGUGUUCCAACCCGUAUAUAAAUACACAUCGACUGACAGUCAGUCACCCAGUACCGUAUAAGGCCAAUCCAGCCUUGGGAUAAUUUUAUCCCCAAAUAUAACUGAUACAGACAGGAUCCAUGUCCAGGUAAACUNNNNNNNNNNNNNNNNNNNNNNNNNAAUAAUAAAGACAAUAAGGCCUGCUGCAGGCGGGCAACCCUGAUCCAUUUAAUAAUAAAGCCAAUAAGGCCUGUUGUAGGCGGGCAUCCCUGAUCCAUAAAAUAGUAAAGUAUAAAGCCAUUAUGGCCUGCUGCGUCGCGCAGCUCAAUCACAUAAACAUCCUCACAAUGGACAAAUAUUACUGAGUGUGAAAUGUAUAUUUUUGAACAAAUAAUUCAACAGCAACACGACCCCAUGGGUCCCAAAAUGUUGGCACGUAGCCUAAACAUGGUCUUUAAUAGGAGCCUCAGCUUAAUUUCUCUAACACAUGGAGAAUGUUCAGAUAAUAACAUGAUUCAUUAAUCUUACAACUGCACAGGAUUUAUUCAAGACACAAUUUAUAUGGUGCACGUCCACAUGCUCGUCACCUAACGUGUGUGUCACCUCCAAACAAUUUAUAUCAUAUCAGAUUCGAGGAUUCAUACCCUCAUAACCAAGUUUAGAAGUGUUACUUACCUCAAACCGUUUAACGCUUUACUCCGCUAUGCCUUUGCCUUCUGAAUUGGACUCCAAACGCCUCUUAUCUAGCCACAAUUAAUUCAAUUCAGUCAAUAAAAUUUAUUAAAAUUAAUUGCAUAAGAAAAUACUAAUUUUCCAUAAAAAUCUGAAAUUUAGCUCAAAAGUCGCCUAUGGGGCCCAUGUCUCGGAACUCGACAAAAGUUAUAAAAUUCGGAAGCCCAUUCAACCACGAGUCUAACCAUACCAAUUUUACCAAAAUCUGACCUCAACUCGACCCUCAAAUUUUCAAUUUAAACCAAGAGGAUUUUCUAGAUUUUCAACUUAAUUCACCCAUUAAAUGAUGGAUUCAAGGACAGAAUCAUGGAAAUUAAUCAAAACUGGAUAAGAAUCACUUACCCCAAAUACCCACGCAAGAAUCUCUCCAAAAAUCGCCUUCUACCGAGCUCCCAAUUCAAUUUUGUGUUAUGAACUCAAAACCCCCAUUUCGGAAUUUUUAAUUCUGCCCAGAAAUGCCUUCAUCUGCCGAGGUUCCUUCUUCACGUUCGCGACCUCUUCAUUGUGUUCGCGAUGACUUCAUACCUCUUCCCUUCAUGUUCGCGAGACACGAUCCGCGUUCGCGAAGGCUUAACGCCAGGCAGGCCCCAGCUCCCUUUCCUCUUCGCAUUUGCGUCAGCCUACUCGCGUUCGCGUAGGCUUCUCCAGUCUCUUCUUCGCGUUCGCGUCUCCUUGCUCACGUUCGCGAUGGGUAAAUCCCAAAAGCCCAAAAUUCCUUCUUCGCGAACGCGUGAGACCCUUCGCGUUCGCGAAGAACAAUACCAGAUAUCAGUUCCAGCAGUUGCAAAACAAGAAAAAAUGAUCCGAAACCAUCCCAAAACUCACCCGAGCCCUCCGGGACCUCAACCAAAUAUACCAACAAGUCCUAAAACAUCAUACGAACUUAGUCGAACCGUCAAAUCACCUCAAACAACGCUAAAAUCAUGAAUUACACCCCAAUUCAGGCCUAAUGAACUUUGACAUUUCCAAUUUCUACAAAUGACUCUGAAACCUAUCAAAUCACGUCCGAUUGAUCUCAAAUUUUGCACGCAAGUCAUAAAUGACAUAAUGGAGGUAUUCAAAUUUUUAGAAUCGGAUAUUGACCCCGAUAUCAAAAAGUCAACCCCCCGGUCACACUUUCCAAAAAUUCGACUUUCGCCAUUUUAAGCCUAAUUCCACUACGGAUCUCCAAAUAAUUUUAUGGACACGCUCCUAAGUUCAAAAUUACCAUACAGAGCUAUUGAAUCAUCAGAAUUCAAAUACGAGGUCGUUUACAUAUAAGUCCAUAUCCGGUCAACUUUUCUAACUUAAAUUUUCAAUUAUGAGACUAAGUAUCUCAUUUCACUCCGAAUUCCUUCCGGACCCGAACCAACUAACCUGAUAAGUCAUAUAUCAACUUUAAGGCAUAAAUUGUGCAGUAAAUUGGAAAACAGUGUUAUAAUACUCAAAACGACCGGCCGGGUCGUUACAAUCUAUGAGACUCCUCAUAUGAUUUUGAAAACCUUCAAACCUUUUCUGCCUUAUUUAUGUGUUCUUUCAUUUCCCGAACCUCAUAUCCUAGAAGGUUUCUUAGGAAACACCUUUUUGGUUAGUUAGUAACUUCAGGGAUUGAACUCUGAGUGUAUAUGUAUUCAUUUCCUAAGUUUAAAGUAGCCUAGAUGACCCAUUUGCAAAGGCUUUCACUUGAAUUCUUGGUGCUCUUGUUGGGUGUUAGUUAUCACUGGUAAACAGAAGGGGUUUAGCUUCAGAAUUUGGGUUUGGUCUAUUGGGCCAAAUUUGGUGUUGAGUCUAAACUGUGCUAUCAGCCUUCCCGCAUAUCUAGAGUUUGGGCCUGCUAUUUGCAAGAAGUCGAGGCCGUUGAAGGCCCAGAUGUGUUAUUGAGUUAUUUGUAUAUUUAUGUUGGGCUUGUAAUUUUUUAUUCUUGGUCUAUAAUAAUUUGUAAAGUUUACAAUGGGGCAAAUAGUUAAACAAGGGCCUGGGGUAGUUUAAUUUUUGCAUGAUUGGGUAUGUAACAUGCCUAUAGGUCCAAAUAACUUUGCCAGCUACUUGUCAUCUAUGAUUUACUUCUGUGUAUUGCUUGUUAAUAGAUAUCAUACCCAUAGGACUUCCAACAUUGCCUAUUCCGCUUAGAAAUCAUGAGUUUAGGUCCUCAAGCAAUUGGUAACUAAACACUGCCUAUGUGACUUACAAUAUCGUUUAGAAAGCAUGCCUAUAGGACCUAUUAUGUGUUAAUUCGUUUGACUAUCUGCCAUUACACUUAGAAAUCAGGUAUUAGGAUUUCACACUAGGCAUCAUGCCUAUAAGAAUUUUUUAUUAAUUAAUUCAACUAUUCGUACUGCCAACUAUGCUCGUAACGCUUUAAACCUAGAGGCCAUGUCUAUAGGAUUUGUAAUAAUGACUUUUAAUUGUUGUACCACUUAAAACAAUUUAGGACAUGAAUCACCUAAAGAUCUUGCCUAUAGAUUUAACAAUGAAGGCUGCCUUUGUUAGAUUAUCCAUGUAUAAAUCAUAUCUAUAGGCAUAAUUAGUUCAUAACUUGCAGCCUACACUUUCCACCUAGAGAUCAUAUUUUAAGUCCAAAUGAAUUAAUUUGAUAAUACGAACUAGUUCAUAACUGUCCGACCUAAUCUCACAACUAGAAAGCAUGUUCGUAGGACAAUUCGCCUUUGAUUCCACCACUUCUUUACAACAGUUUAAUUGGUAAUUGCUUGACAUUCAUGUGCGUCUACUUGUGGAGGUAAAUGUGAACCAUGUUGUGCUAAUUUUUCCUCUGUGAAGUCCUAUUUGUUUAAAUUAUUUGGUUUGAAAAGCUGAGGAUGAGAACCACCCAUAUAGUUGUCCAGCACCUCUUGGACAAUAGGCAUGGGACAGGUAGGCCAAUAUAUGACACGACUUAGAAUUGAAUUGGUGUGUGUUAGGUAAAACAACAUAAAGAUAAUAAUCUGGUAGUUGGAGGUGAUAGUUUGUGCUCGCUGGAUAAUAUGAGCAACCAUUGCACUUAAAGGUUGUGAAAUUUCACGGGGUGAUCCUUUAGGCUAAAUAAUUUAGGAUCCCCCUCCCCACUAUGUCUAAUUGUUCCUACACAAUUAGUGAUCAGUAUUGUUAAGAGAUUUGGAUUUGUGUAAGUAGGUGUAACUUCUUUGUAGCCAAAAGGUUGUACCAACUAAUAUUAUUAAUAAAUGACGUAUGUUCUUUCAAACUGUUCUCUUUACAUUAUUUCCGUAUUACUUUGUAAGGCCCCGUAAAAUAUUACCUAAAACCCGAGAUUUCGUAGUGCCGAAGUAGACUUAUGCGUUGAAGAGAAGUUUUGGAAGUGCAGGGCAUUUCUGCAUCCCAUUCUGCGGUCGCAGAACUGUUCUGCAGACCGCAGAUCUGCCGCAGACUGAGGCAGAAAUCUGGGCAAAUGUUUGGACCAUUAUGCGGUCCAUUAUAUGGCCGCAUAAUCGUUUUGCAGGCCGCAUAACCCAUCGUAGACCCAGCAUAAAAAAUUUUGGAGGGCAGCCUGCGGCGCAUUAGGCGACCGCAGAAUAGGUCUGCGGACCGCAGACUGAUCACAGAGUGAGGUAGGGGUGCCCAGUUCCGGAGGGCCAUUAUGCGGCCCAUUUUGUGAAUCGCAGAAGAAUUAUGCAGUCGUAUAUGCGACCGCAGAUCUGCAUCGGGGCUUUAUUUUUCUAAAUUUUGAACCUGAGCCCAUUCUUAUAAAACAACCUUAGGGAUCUUUUUAGAAGGCUAAAACUUAUAUUUCUAGAGAGAGGGAGUGCCAUAGAGUGAGAGGGGAAGUUCCUAAGCUUAUCAUUCAUCAAUUCUUGCUCAAGGUUGAAGAAGUUACAAGAAGAAUUCACUAGGUCUUCAUCCUAGAGGUAAGAUUCUACUCCCUAGCCCUAAAUUUCGUGAUUGUAACUGAAAAUAGGUAAUAAGCCAAGCAAAUUCUUGGGCGUGGGAGUUGUUUAUUUUACAUGCAUGUACCAUCAAGGGUAGUGGGAAGAUUGUUAAGCUCAUUUAGGUAAUCUUUGGGUAGUGGGAUGAAAGAAUCCACCAUAGGAGGACCUUAGAACCUUAAUGCACACCCAGUGUUUGAUAAAAUGCUCAAGUGAGCUGGAACUAUGAACUCCUUUCUAAUUUAUAUUCAAUUUUGCUAUAUCUCUAAAUAGAUCAAAGUUGCUAGGAUUCCGAAAUUGUGUAGUGAAUUAGGGAAAGCGCAAAGCAAGGUAUGUUGGUUAAACCCUUCUCUUAGAAUUGAACCCCACAAUAUACUUGUAAGUCCUGUGAUGCUCAUUAUAAAUUGAUUAUUCCAAAUAAGCGUAGCGUCAAAAUAAUUAUGCAUUCAAUAUGUAUUCCAAAGAUUCUUGUUAUAUUAAGUCACUGUUGAGAAUGUGGUUUAAGUAUGGGCUGUGUGUUAUUACGUUAUGAUUUAAAAACGUGAUUCUAAUAAAAGCAAUCAUGUCGAUUGUGUAAGAAAUUACAUGUGCCUAAGACCCUAAUUUUCUCAAAUAUGUGUUUAAAAUCUUAAUUUGAAAGGCCUUGUUGUUGAUUAUCCAUGAUGAUAUUUAAAAGUGAAAGAAGAGAACAUGAAAUAUGAUGUGCGGCCAUCGUGCUAAGAAUGAUAUUGCAUCAUGGCCAUUGGUGCCAAUGAAAUGAAUGAUAUGAAAAAGAUUACGAAAUGAGUGGUAAAUCCUUUUUAUAAUAAACCACAGGUGCAGGUAGGCAAGCCGACGGUCCCCCUUCUUAGGAUCCCUGAUCAGUGAGAGUUUGUAUGCUCCACUUGAUCCGGAGCUGCUUUUGAUUUUGGUAUGAUAUGCUUGUAUACAUAUAUGGGUAUGACUUGGCCCAGUCCCGUCCUUGUACAGUUGUAUUUUCUAUUAGAUGUCUGUAGAUAGUUAUGUAUAGGUUGAUAGUAUGUGGCCUUGUUGGCUUCCAAUUUUGGGUAUAUAUAGUUGUCUAAAGCAGCCUUGCCGGCUCGCCCCACUGUAUUUCGUAUGUCUAUCUAUAUAUGUCUUGUGGGCAGGUUUCCCUCACAUACACUAUUCAUGUUUAUAUCUAAGACAUAUGCUUAAGGGUGUUCGACAGGUAGGACUCGGGCAUCCGUCGCGGCCCAUCGUUUUGGGUCGUCACACCUAUAGCAACUCAAAUCAUCAUAUAUGCACUUCCUGAUCAUCGUGCAAGAUAUACCACAAACAAACAACAAACUUCUAACAUCUUAAACUUAGAGAGGGACUCUAACUCACCAAAUUUUAAGCUCGGUUACCUACUCUAUCAAAUAAAGAUAAUAACAUCACCAAUCUAUCAUGAAACAAGUGACCUCACAAGAAUAAAUAGUCCAUACACUCAAAUCAAAGAAUGAAUAUAAUUUAAUGACUUAGCAUCAAAGAACAACUCUCGCACUCACAAAGAAUUCAUCUGUAUGCACAAAGAACAGGCUUGCCCAUUAUGUACAUCUCUACUAAUUAAGCAUGCUCGAAUAGAAUCAAAUAGGACUUUAACGGGUUAUAAUGUUGGUUAGGGACGAGUAGGAGAACUAUAUAAUAGUGACUCACACCUCCCUAAGCACUUUGCACUUUUAGACUUCAUCACCCAUUUUUUUCUACUCUUCACUUUAUUUUUCAGCCCUCUCUUCAUCAAUUAUUUCACAAGUAUUUCCCUUAUAUCAAGAAUGACUCAAUCAUUUUUUUCAUGUCACAUUCUUUUCAAGAGGGCCUUUUCAUCACUUUGCAGCUAUUGUUGGUCACUAUUUUUCACUUAAUUAUCUCAUUCUUCAAAUUUAUCAAUUAAUAUCACAGUCUAAGCAACAUUGCUCAAGGAAGCAGGGUGCAAAACUAGGGAUUCAACAAAAGACUCAAGGAAAAUAUACGGCUUCCAAACAAAAGGCUAAAGGCUCAAAGGGCUAACUAGUAGUACAAUAUCUGAAAAGGAUAAAAUUCACAAGACAUAUCAAAGAAAGCCUAUCAUCAUCUUCUAAACAGAGCAACACUUUUAUUUCACUUCAAUAACAUGCAUGGCAUGUUCUAGACUAAGAUGCAAAACAUAAAAUAUAUGUAAGAAAUCUUCACCCCACAUGGCACAAGCAUCAAUCAAGAUGGAUCAAUUCUACUCCAAGACAGACAGGAUCAUAGCGAAUGAUAAAAUAAGAAUAAGCUAUAUAUAGAGUCACAAUUAUGAGCUUAGGUGUCAGAAAGUCCGCUAUUUUAUUCAUUACUCAAGCACUCAGAGGAAAGUACUACUCAAGAUCAGGCUUAAAUAUGUUAGUAUCAAACAAGUCACAAAAGGUUUUUCUUCUCUCUCUUUUACUACUCCUAAAAUAAACUAAUCCUAAAAAUAAAAAAUAAAAAAAAAGUACCCGGUUCAAGUUACAUCCCCUAGAAAAGAACCGAUACACAAAGAAAAACCAAGGGAGAUUAUUAUCUAACUAAAACUAACUAGAAACAAAAAGAAAAUCUUUUUGGAAUUUUUUUAUUGGACUUUAAUCCCUCAAGAAAGCUGUCCACAAAAUCCAUCGACGGGAAAAGUCCAAGUUCUCUAAAAAAAUCUCAAUUUUCGUUUUUUUUUUCAAUUUUUCAAUUUUUUUUUACAAAUAUCACUACACUAAGAAAGAAUACUACAAUUAAGCUAGGAUAGUACAGAAAAUCACCUAGACAAUCUCCUCACCCCACACUUAAAAUUGUGCAAUGUCCUCAAUGUAUACAAUAAAUAACAAGAGGGUAAAAGAGACUCCCUGGUAGGCCAAAGGCCGAAUCAUUAGAAGCUAACGGGAUACUCAGACUUGUCUCAAUGAUGGUCCUUUAUGCGGGCACCCCACACUUAAUUUCAACCAAUCGCUUUCGCACACCUUAUUCCCACAAAAUUAAAAAUAAAUAGAAAUAACACUACAAAAAAAUAUCACAAUUAAAAAAAAAAAAAGAGAAAGAAAAAUAAAAUUGAGUUUCCUUCCAACAAGUGCUUGAUUUAACGUCAUGGCACGACGCCAUCACUUUCACCACUUUUCCUUCCACUUUGGGGAUAUGAAUUGCGCCCCUAAUUUUUCAUCAAUUUUUUCUGUCACGUUCCUUGGGUGGUGGUGUAAAAAUAAGGGAACCAAGCAAUAGAUAUCCCAUCUUGCAUUUAUUGGCCUUUAAGUGAGGGAUGUCGUUUUGUCUCCUUGGCAUGGCAAAUUUCAGAAUAUAAGCACAUUGUUCCUCAUCUAUUGACUCCUCCAUAUGCUAGAAUGGAUCAAUUCACGUGUCACCAAACAAACACAAUGUUGAAAAGUAUUUAGAAUGAGGUCCAAUGCUCUCCAACUCUAGAAUCUGUUCACUUUUGACAUCCUCACCUUUGCACAUGUCGUCAACCUUGGCACCAUUAAUAAUAUUUUGGUCGAAUAGUCAAAAUUUCUCUUUCUGCUCCACAAGCUGGCCAGUAUCUACAACAAUUGAUUGUUGGGCAUCAGACACCUCAACCUUUUCAUUCAAUUGAGCCUGCAUGUCAUGGAUAUAUGAGCUAAAUUGGUCUAUCUCCUGCAUGAGCUCAGUUCUUCCAUCUAUAGCUGUUUUGUCAUAUUUGAUAGACCAUCAUAGAGAAACUCAUGAAAUUUUAUCAGUUGAGCUUGUUCCUCUAGCCAAGAUUGGCUCACUAUAUCUGCUUCUUCAAAAUUAUCUUCUUAUGGGAACUCGCUCUCUUUAGCCACUUCUUCCGCCUUGUCCUUCAUUCUCAUGAUUGCUGCACUAAUUCUUUGUAUAGCAGUUUGAUUUUUAUCUUGUUGCUAGUCAACUUGCUUCACCAUGUCCAUAAUAUGGGCAGGACGCUCCACAUCCUCCACUUCAUUGCUCCUAUCAAACUCAUAAAUAUUAUUAGACAUAUAAUAAUAAGGGCUCAGAGAAGGGUAAAAACAAUUAGGAUAACCAUCCCAAUGGCCACCUGACAACCACACACAUUACAAAUAUUUCACUCAUAAGAUUGAGAUUCACAAUUUUGCUACAAGUGUGGUCCUCCACAAUAUGGACAUGGAUUACCAAAAUAAGAAUAAUAAAUAUUCGACCAAUUCUCAUUCCAAGAUGCCAUGUAAAAAAGAAAAAAUAAUUAAAGGAGUACUACACUAAACUAAAAUUAAAAACAUGAAUAGACAAAAAGUAAAAAUCUAAACUAGCAAAACAGUCAAUUUCAAACUCCCCGGCAACGGCGCCAAAAACAUAUUACUCCCAAACGCACACGCAAGUAUACGUGGUCGACAAGUAAUAUAGGAUUGUAAGUCCAGAUAUCGUACCCACAAAGACAUAUGAUUAACUAUCAACUAAAUUAAAGCCAAACAACAAGCAAAUCCUAAAGUAUGAAUAAUUAACUCAAAUGAAUCUAGAGUAACAAACUAAGAUAUUAAAGGAACAAGUUGGCGAAAUUAGACACGAAUUCAAUGAGAGACAAUAUUCUAGAAAUAUGGGUUGGCUAACAAUCCCGUUGAGUUUUCUACCUAAAUUGUCUAAAUAAUUUAUCUAGUUUAUUUAUUGACAAGGUUAAUAUUACUAGUAGCCUUCUCCCGAUGUACUACUCGCCUAUUCAAGCUAACCUAAUGCCUAUAUUCAUAUAGAAUUAGGAUUAACAAGAACACAUUAAUAAUUCCUGUAUAGUAACCAACAAGGCGAUUAGGUAUAUCCCUAUCCUAACCGCAAAUCCAUUCCGAUGCUCGAGUUCAAGAUCUUGCUCUACUCAAUCUUAUAUACAAUCUAGAAUUCCAUCCCCCGAGUUCAAUCCUUGUUUCGUAGAUAGUAUUCAAUUGGUGAUCAAGCAAUCAAAUAAUUAAAUACAAGAUUGAAUAAAUAUACCAAUAUGAUAAACUAAUAAGAGCAAUUCAAGUUUCAAACCAUAACAUUCAUGUAGCACCCUACAACUCUAGAACAAAUAAUUAUGAAAUAAAGGAAGAGAAGAGAAGAAACACUUGUUAGAAGCCUCCUCCAAAGCAUGGUCCGUGUUCCCCCACAUGAAUUCUCCUUCAAAGUAUGUUAGGUCCCCUCCAAAUCAGGUUUAGGACUCCUUAUAUAUGAAUUGGGACCGUGUAGGACUGAAUUAACCUUGUCCCGGAUGAAAUAGGAAAACUCCUGCCAUGCAGGGUCCAGGCCAGCGCCUCACACUGGCCCUGGCGCUAGAUCCAGUAACUUUCGCAAUCUCAACCCUUUGCUGCAUUUUUCUUGGCAUUCUAGUAUAUCUUAUUCUUUUGUCUUCCACUUGGGGGACAAAACCCAAAGGAUGUCCCCCUUUUUUUUUAUUCUUUUAGUUUUCUUUCUUCUUCCUCCGCAUUUUAUUCAAUUUUGCUCCAAAUCUUUUUAUCUUAAUACCACUUUAUUCCUACAUAGUUAAAAUAUAAUAUUAAGCAUAAAGUAAUAUAAUUAACACUCCAAAGACGAUUAAAAGUACUCGAAUGUGAGUCGACAAUGGUUAAAUAUAUGCAUUUUUGGCCGAACAUCACUUGGAUCAACAUGGUAAUAGAAACGAUCAGUUUCUUUGGUAUGAUACGUUCUUACAUGUGCAUUUGUAGCAAGGCCUUUGGGUUUUGGAGUCUGCGUGACUUGGUUGAUAUAAAGGGAUUCAGAUCUGAUCGCGUGGUUAUGUGCAAAUAGAUUUCGAAGAGUUUACAAUGGUUUUGACCACGACUUGAGGUAGAUGUCUCCUACGAGCAUCGUAUUGUAGCAUGAUAGAUGCGGUGAACCGUAUGGAAUAGAGAUUGCAUGGAAAAGGUUGCGGUCAGUUUCGAAAGGAAGGUCAUAAGUUCUGGACAUCAUGAGGGAUUUCAAGUGCGUAAGAGAAUGCUAGCGCUAUAUUGUAUCACCUAAUAAGGGUGUAUGUUAUAGAAGAUGCAUUGUAUAUUGAUUUACGACUACUUUUCUAGUACUACAGGAUCUCCUGGUUGAUAAUGUUCAUGUUUUCUACUCGAUGCAGAAGAUUUAUGAAAGUAUUUUCAUGUUGUGAUUGUGUAUGUAUAAUGUGGCAUUCAUUUAAAUGGGAGUGUUAGAGAUCAUGUAUGGAGACUGUUGCAAUCUUGAGGUUUAGAGAUUGGGUUUUCUUAAAGGCAGACUGUCUCGUUGGUUGCAGACUGUGGAAGUGUGUUAAAGGUUAGACAGCUAAUUGUAUGUAUCAUGGAUAGGGUCACUAUGGACCUUUGGAAAGUUAUUUACCUAUCUCUCAAUGGUUUGAAUCGGUUAGGGGGCAUAUAUUUGUAGGCCUAAUAAGAAUGGGUAUUGUACACUGGAUUGGAUUUGUUUACUCAACAUAGAAUUUCCUGUAGGUGUGUCAUGAGGUAGACUUAAAUUUAUUCAUGUCCUGAUCUGUUUCAUGUGUUACUCUCUUAUGCUAUGAUGGGUUGUGAGAUUACAUGAUAACUCACAUGCAUAUUGUGGUCCUAUUUAGGCCUUAUAGUGAUGUGUGAGUGAGAUGGCUCUUGAGGUAUGAUUUGCUUAUUUCACCUUAAUCGUGCUUACCAAUUUCGUAGUGAAUUAUGCUAUUCAUAUCCCCAUGGUUAUGUUUAUGCAUUGUACGUUCUUGUUGUUGAUACACAUGUGUUUGGUGAUUAUGAGAAUCUUGGAUCAAUAAGUAUUCCCAUGUGGACUGCUAUGAUGUUGGAUCGGGGUAUAUGCCGCAACGAAGUUAUGCUUGGAUUCGAUUCCUUGUUCUUAUUCCUAGAGUUUUGUUUAUCCCUUGUGGGAUGGAUUUAUAGCAUUGUGCUUUAGAGGUUGUAUUUGUUAGACUUAUGGUAUAGAUCUCUUAUUUGGUUCUCUUCUCAUUAUUGGUCAGAUCUGAGUUGUUGCUUGUAUAGUGUACGAGAUGCAUCGUAUAUAGUUCUAGGUUGCAUUUGAUGUGGCAUGUUCAUCGGGCAGAUUAUAUUAAGUGAGAUGAGAUUAUUGGACUUGGAAGCAGUGCAAUCAAUUUUUGAUAAGGUAUGUUUGAAAGAAGAAUACCAUUAGUCAGCUCGAAUUUUUCACUGGUUCUUGUUGGGAAGGAGAACUCCACAACUUGUUAUUUUCAUGGGUGGUUAUGAGUUUCUUCACAUUUCUCUUAUCAUUAAUAGUGUUAUGAGAGUUGUAACAAGGUUGUUAUUGGAUAUGAGGUAUAUUACCGGUACCGAGUUUGGUAAUAAGUAGUUAUUAUGGUCGAAAGAUAUUGCUAUGAGUAUACGAAUUAUGCGAUACAUUGUGUGGUUAUAUCUUGGGAGUAUAUUUAUGGCUUGAUGCAGCUUGUUGAGAAUGAUACAGUGUAUAUAUAUAAGAAUCGGAUCUUAGAAAGAGUUCCGAAUGUUGGAAUUUGGUCCUAAGGAUUGUAAGCUAUAGUUGAAGGAAGAAACUUCAGUUAUGAUUAUGUUGAUCGACUUAUAUGGAUGGAGGUGAUGUGAGAUCGCCCAUGGGUUUAUGUAGGACGAGUUUAUACAGUGAUUUGAUAGUUUUGGAAUGACUCUUGGCAUGUUCAAGGAUGAACGUAUGUUUAAGUGGGGGAGAAUGCAACGACCCGACCGGUCAUUUUUUGUUUUAGCAUCCCGUUCGAUGGUUUGAGACCUUGAGUAACUUCAUAUGAUGCAUUAGACUUGCGUGUAUGGUUGGUUUCGAUGUUUGAGAGGUUCGGUAUUGAUUUGGAAUAAUGAUUCUCAAUUUGAAAGCUUUGAGUAAGAAGAGGUGACUAAGGUUUGACUUCCAAGUAAAUGAUCUAGAAAUCAGGAUUUUAUGGUUUCAAUAGGUUCGUACCGUGAAUUUGAACUUGGGCGUAUGUUCAAAUUUGAAUUUGGAUGUUCCUAGAAGGUGUUUUCUCUAUUGACCAGAAAUUGACUUUGAUAUUAUCGGACUCCCAUUGUAGGUUUGAGACUUGUAACGACGCGCCCAGUCGUUUUGAGUAUUUUAGCCUUGUUUCCCCUUUUGAUGCUUUAAAUAUGUGUAUUUUUUGUUAUGUGACAAGCGGGGGCAGUUAGUUUGGCUUCGGGGAUGUUUUGAAUUUAAUUGGGACACUUAGUCUCGAGGUUGGACGCUUAAAUUGUAAGAGUUGACCGGAGUUUGAAUUUUAUGUAGACAAUCCUGGAAGGGCAUUUUGAUGGUUCCAAUAGGUUUGUAUGGUGAUUUUGGACUUAGGCGUAUAUUCAUAUUUGGAUUUGGAGUUCUGUAGGUUGAUUUUGUUAUAUUUGGCAAAAGUUGGAAAGUAAAAGCUUUGGACAGUCCAUAGGUUUAACUCAGAGUUAAAUGUGAUGUUACCGGGUUUGGAUUGCGGUUCCGAGAGUUGGACUAGGUUUGUUGUGCCAUUUUGGGACUUGUAUGAAAAAUUUGAGAUCAUUCAUAGUUGAUUUUAUGUGGUUCGGCAUGAGUUUUGGAAGUUAGAAGUUCAUUAGUUCCUUAGACUUGAAUUGAGGUGCGGUUCGUAGUUUUGAAUGUGUUUUGUGUGAUUUGAGGCCUCAAGUAGGUCUGUGCAAUAUUUUGGGAUUGGUUGGUGGGAUUGGACGGGGUCCCGGGGGCCUCGAGUUUGUUUUGGGUAAGUUUCAGAUCAUUUUGGAUUAAGUUGGCAUGGCUGAAUAUUUAUGAGUUUUGAUGUUUUCGCAUCGGUAGAAUUUUGGUCCCAGAUAUGGGGGUGAAGCCUCAGAAGUGGAUCUGGGCUGGAGAAGUCAAAGGCAAUAGAAGCGGAAGUUUGAGCGAAAAUGCGGUUGAGUGACCGGAGAUGCGGUUGGCCAACAUUUUUUGAGAGAACUCGUGGAUGCGAGAUUUUGACCGCGGAUUUCGUAUUAUGGACGGCAAAUACGGAAACAUUGGGCUGACUAUAUGAAUUUGAGAGUUUGGUCAUUUUUCAUUAUUUGGAGUUGUGGAGCUCGGCUAGAGGAUACUUUUGGGGGGAUUUUCACUACAAUUGAAGGGAUAAGUAAACUUUACUCAAUUUUGGUUGAUAUAUAUUGAUUACCCAUGGAUUAUUACACCUAGUUUAUGUGAAUUAAAGGUGAAAUUUUGGGAUUUUUACUAUCAUUUUGGAGUGUGAAAAUUGAUGAUUUGAGGGUUGAUUUGAGGUUGGAUUCAGAUGAAACAUAUAUAUUUGGGCUCAAAUCGGAAUGGGUGUUCAGAAUUUGUGAGUUUUGUCGAAUUCUGGGGUGCGGGCCCGAGGUUGACUUUUUGGGUUGACUUUGCAUAUUUGGAUCAAGAUCUUAGAUUUAAUGUUUGAGGUUGUUUUCCAUGACUUUUAUUGAUGAUAUUAAGUUUCUUUGACUAGGUUCGAGUUGCUCGGAGGUCCAUUUGCGUGGGAAGGGAUUAUUAUGAUUUCUAACAUGUUGUUGAUGCCUCAUAUGUGUAACAUUGUUGAACUUAGUACGGCGAUAUUGAGCUUGGGCCACAUAGACGAUUUGGUAUUGAUUUUGAGGUGACGCGUACGUCAGGCCCAUAUUGGACUAAGUUGUACUGACUAGGGAGGCAACACAUGCACCAGGCCCUAUGAUUGGGCUAUGUAAUUCUGAUUGUUGGCUUAUAUUCGAUUUACACUUGGGCAAGGAUCCGCCCCUUCGGAGUUUCGUAUUCACAGUGAGCGCAUGCACAAGGUCAUAUAUGUGCUUUGGUGAGGGGCAUUUAUGCUAGGCACCCGUAUAGUGCUGAGUGCGGUUGUGUGUGUGAUGGUGAGGGGCACUUGUGUCAGGCAUUGUGAGUGUGCUGAGCGUGAGUAUACUCAAUGGCUUCACUGUGGUGUUAUUGACUUGACAUGUAUAUUUGACAUGUAGUCUUAGAGAUGCAUUUUUUUUCAUGCUAGAUGGUAAAUGAAAUGUCUUAUCUAUUGUUGAAAGUUAUGAAAAUCACAUUUUUAGUGAUUUUGGUGGAAGCUUGGGCUUUGACUGUUACACUUGGAAAGCAUGUCUAAUUUUUCGUAUAGGUGAACGAGCCGAACAUGAUAUCUUUUGAGUUAUUUACUUUUACUGUCAUCAUUAUAUCAUGUGUUGUUAUUGAUUAUUGGUGUUGGACACUGACUUUCUUUUGAGAUCCUCACUUUUUUAGCCCGAGGCUAGGUUUGUUACUUAUUGAGUACAUGGGGUAGGAUGUACUCAUAUUACACUCUACACUUUAUGUGCAGAUCCAGUUACUGCUGGGCGUGGUGAUUGAAAGUGUUUGCAUCGGUUCUAGCUUGUGGAGACUACGAGGUAGCUAGUAUGUCCUAAAUAGAUAUUUUAUUAUUAUUUUGUUGUUAAGACCAUUAAGUUCUAUUAAUCGAUUUUAUUAUUAUUGUGAAACUUUUGGCUUGCCUAGCAAGCAGUGUUAGGCGUCAUCACAUCUCCAAUGGGAGUCUGGGUCGUGACAAGUUGGCAUCAGAGCACUAGGUUGCCUAGGUCUCACGGGUCAUGAGUAAGUUCAGUAGAGUCUUGCGGAUCGGUACAGAUACGUCUGUACUUAUCUACGAGAGGCUGCCGAACUAUUAGAAAACUUCACUUUCUUGCACUCUUGUCGUGCGGAUUUGUUAAUUCCAAAGUUUGAACCUUUACUCUUCUAUUCUCUCACAGAUGGUGAGGACACGUUCACCUUAUCAGGAGCUGGAGCCCUGGAAUGCAAUCACUACCCGAGGUAGAGACCAAAGACGGGGUAGAGACAGAGGUAGAGGCAGAGCUCAGCCUAGAGCGUGCGCAGCGGUACCUGAUGUUGAGCCUCAGGUAGAGCACGAGGAGGAGAUCCCUAUUCCUACUGAGCCAGUAGAACGAACUCAGGUCCCAAAUGGUUUCAUCUCUACCCCGGUACUCCAGUACGCCCUAGUCUGCUUGGUUGGUCUUAUGGAGAGUGUGGCCCAAGCCGGUAUAUUUCCUGUAGCAUCAGCCGUUUCUCAGGCUGGGUGAGGAGCCCAAACUCUCGCUACUCAAACUCCAGAGAAGAUGGCUCACAGGUAUCAAACCUUAGCAGUUCUACCAGUUAGGGUAGUUCAGCUUGUUGUUGCUAUGUAUCUCAGAGAGAGACCCACGAUAUCAGCUGAGGGCUGAAGAGGUUAGAGAAGUUCACCAAGUUGUUUCCCCUUGCUUUGGUGGUACACCUUCUAAGGACCCCUAUGAUUUCCUAGACCGUUGCCAUGAGAUAUUGCUCAACAUGGGUAUAGUGGAAUCUAAUGGAGUUGAUUUCACCAUGUUUCAGAUGCAUGGUGAUGCCAAGAGGUGGUGGUAAGUGUAUGUUCAGGAUAGGCCAGCAGGUUCACCUCUUCUCAAUUGGGCCCAGUUCUCAUAGUUGUUCUUAGAGAAGUUCAUUCCCUUCACUCAGAGAGAGGACUUCCACAAUUAGUUUGAGCGUCUUCAGUAGGGUAGCAUGACAGUUACUUAGUAUGAGACCAAAUUUGUGGAUUUAUCAAGCCAUACAGCUAUCCUGAUCCCUACUGAGAGGGAGAUGGUGCAGAGGUUUAUAGAUGGCCUUAUAUAUAGUAUCAGGAUAUAAAUGGCCAGAAAGACCGAGGAUGAUAUUUAUUUUAUUCGGGUUAUGGAGAUCGCUAGGAGGAUCGAGCGCAUUACAAUACAGGUUAGAGAGAUGACCUCUGAUAAGAGGCCUCGUCAUUUUGGAGGAUUUAGUGGUGCCUCGUCUGGAGGCCAAGGUCUGCUUGUGAGGGCCCAGUCCAGCAGACCAGUUUAUCAUUUGCCACCUCCUAGUCGAGAAGCUUCAAUACAGUCUCCGUUCAGUGAACUCCCAGCUUAGAGCUCUUAUCGCACUCCAUCAGUUCAGGGUUCAUCAGUAUUGGGCUCUUCCAACGGUUAUUCUAGUUCACGGGGUCCAUCUCAGGCCCCAUAGUCAUUCCUGAGGCUGCUCGAGUGUGGGGAUUUGGGGCAUGUGAGGAAGUAUUGCCCCAACUUUUACAGAGGUCCAGUGCAGUAAGGGGCCAGACUAUUUCUCCUCUACUAGUUGCUAUAGCACCAGAGCAGCCAGCUCGGGGUUGAGGUCAUACAGGACGAGGUCGCCCUAGAGGGGGAGGUUAAUUAGGUGGUGGAUAGGCCCGUUGCAAUGCAAUUCACGCCAGGCUAGAGGCUGAUGCUUCUGACUCCGUGAUCACAUGUAUUGUUAUCAUGUUCCAUAGGGAUGGUUAAGUGUUAUUUUACCCUGGUUCCACUUAUUCAUAUGUGUCAUCAUACUUUGCUCGUUAUUUGGAUAUGUCUCGUGAUUCUUUAGAUAUGCAUGUUCAUGUAUCUACACCGAUGGGUGAAUCUAUUAUGGUGGACCUUGUCUAUCUGUCUUGUAUGGUUACCAUUGGGGAUUACGAGACCAGAGUUGAUCUAUUACUGCUCAGCAUGGUUGAUUUUGAGGUGAUUUUAGGUAUGGAUUGUCUUUCUCCAUACCAUGUUAUUCUUGAUUAUCACGCUAAGACCAUGACGUUGGCGAUGUUGGGGUUGCCUAGGGUGAAGUAGAGAGGUUUUCUUGGUCACACUCCCAAUAGAGUGAUUUCACACUUGAGGCUCAACGUAAGGUUGAGAAGGGGUGUUAGGCAUAUUUGACCUUUGUGAAGGAUGUUAGUGCUGAUACUCCUAUCCUUGAGUCAGUUCUUGUGGUGAGUUAGUUUCCAGAUGUGUUUCCAGAAGACCUACCGGGUAUGCCACCCAACAGGGAUAUUGAUUUUGUGCUAAACACUAAGCAUAUCUCUAUUCUACCAUAUCGCAUGGAACCAGUGGAGUUAAAUGAAUUGAAGGAACAGUUUCAGAAAUUACUUGAUAGGGUUUAAUCAGACCUAGUGUGCCACCUUUGGGUGCACUGGUACUAUUUGUGAAGAAGAAACAUGAUUUUAUGAGAAUGCGCAUUGACUACAAGCAGUUGAACAAGGUUACUAUCAAGAACAAGUACCCACUACCGCUUAUUAAUGAUUUGUUCAAUCAGCUUCAGGGUGCUAGGGUAUUCUCGAAGAUUGAUUUGAGAUCGGGGUAUCACCAGUUGAAGAUCAGGGCUUUAGAUAUUUUGAAGACUGCUUUUUGGAUCCCCUAUGGACAUUAUGAGUUUGUGGUGAUGUCAUUUGGGUUGACCAAUGCCACAACAACUUUCAAGCUUUCAUGCGCAUGAUGAAUAACGUGUUUCAGCCUUAUCUGGAUUCCUUUGUUACUGUGUUUAUUGAUGAUAUAUUGGUGUAUUCUCACAGCCGUGAGGAUCAUGAGAAGCAGUUGAGGAUCGUGCUCUAGACUUUGAGGGAGAAGAAGGCAUAUGCGAAAUUCUCCAAAGGAGAGUUUUGGUUAGAAUCGGUGGCAUUCUUGGGUCAUGUAGUAUCCAGUGAGGGGAUUAAGGUGGAUCCAAAGAAGAUUGAGGAAGUUCAGAGUUGGCCCAGACCAUUUAUUGCUUCUGAGAUCUGGAGUUCCCUUGGGUUGGCUAGGUAUUAUCGCCAUUUUGUGGAUGGUUUUUCAUCUAAAGCAUCCCCAUUAACUAGAUUGAUGCAUUAGGGUUCCCCAUUAAGGUCGAGUGUGAGGAGAGCUUUCUAAAGCUCAAGACUACCUUGACUACAACUCCAGUUCUGGUUUUGCCUUUGGGAUAGAGUUCUUAUAUAGUUUAUUGUGAUGCUUCACAGAUUGGCAUUGGGUAUAUGUUGAUGCAGGAGGGGAGAGUGAUCGCUUAUUCUUUGUGUUAAUUGAAACCUCAUAAGAAGAACUACCCAUUUCACGAUUAGGAGUUAGCAGCCAUUGUUCCCGCACUCAAGAUUUGGAAACAUUAUCUUUAUGGUUUAUCUUGCGAGGUGUUCACGAAUCACAGGCGUCUGCAGUACUUAGAGCAAAAGGAUCAGAACUUGAGGCAACAGAGGUGGUUAGAGCUACUAAAGGACUAUGAUAUCACCAUUCUUUAUCAUCUCGGGAAGGCCAAUAGGUGGCCAUCGCUUUGAGUAGGAAGGCUGAGAGCAUGGGUAGUCAUGCUUUUAUCCCAGCUUGGGAGAGACUGUUAGCUUUGGAUGUUCAGGCUUUGGCCAACAGGUUAUUGAUACUCAAUUUUGCCCUCAUGCUUGCCACUUGACCAGUAUUUUUGUAAUAAUUGUUUUACAUAUUUUUUAAAUAAUAUUUCCCUGCACUACUAACCCAUAAUAAGUUUUAAAUUUCAAUCUUUUUACUAUCAUGGAAGUUUUGAACAAAUAAAUUUUAUUCUGUUAUUAUAAGUGUUUUUAAAAUGGAUUUUAGCAUUUAAUUGGUAAGCAUGCAAUUAUUGUUUCUUUAAAACUAUUUAUGAGUGAUUAAUUGUCUAACUUAAUCAUCUACAUUUCAUGCAUAUUUUAUAGUAUUUCACGUAAUUUUAUACAAUUAUAUUUGUAUUUUUAUAUUAUUUACACACUAUUUGCAAUAAUAGCAUAUAUUUUACAAAUAAUUGAAUUUUCUUGCAUUAUUUAGGUCAAAAUAGCAUUAUUAUAUUUUCCAAUCCUCAAUCAUUAUUUUGAAAGUAUUAAAUUGUAUGAAAAGCAUUUUAUUUAUCUAUUAGCUAUUUUGUUUAUUUUAUUCCUUUAAUUUUAUGCAUGCUUUAAUUCUAGCCCCAAAACAAGCCAAAAUUCAAACCCAAAUGGUCCAAACACUAGGCCCAACUACCCCAGGCCCAAAACCAAAUGACCCCUUACCAAAACCUGGUCAGGACCCAUCUCCUGACCCGCCCCAUCUCCUUUAAAUCCUGGUCGUUGAUCUCAAAUGAUCAAUGACCCCACAAUAGCCCCUCUAUUUUUAAUUACCCAACCCCCAAAUUAUAUAAACCCCUCCCCAAUUCCCCUAAAACAGACCUUAAUAACUCUCUCUCUUACUCGCACUUGCUCUAUUUUGUUCUAAAACUGUUGUGUUCAAUUAGUUAGUGGUCGGCUAAAAGCCAAGGCCACUGUGGUACUGUUUAAAACCUCAUCUGGAGCAAGAACUGCAUGGAACCCUUUUGAGGCUCUUGUGAACUCUAAAGCACUGGUGAUUUGGGGUUCUCAUUAUUCUCUUUCAUUCACUGCUGUUUGAGCCAUCGUUGAAACUCUAAUUUUUCUCAUUCUUUUCCCGUUUAUCUUGCAACUGGUUAAUGUUCUCAACUCUUGCAAUUUGAACUACUUCCCUUCUAUAUGAUCAUGUAUAUGUGAAUUAUGUAUGGAAAUAUUAAUUGAACCUUCAUGAAGAAAGCAUGACUCAGUUUCUCUGCUAUUUGUGAAUUUCUAGUGUUGUACUAUCAUUAAAUGUUUCAUUGUAAUUUCAUGGUUCAGGUGAUGUUUUGCAUUUUCCUUGCUCACUAGUCUCAAAUCUGCCUAAGUCUAAGAUUUUAAAAAUAAGCCUCAACACGUGUAGUUUAGUCUCACCAUCUGCAAUUGACUUGAAUGAAUUCAGACCUUCUCAGAGUUGGGUAUUUGCCUACUAGUUGAUUUGAUGUGCUUAUAUUGACCCUGACUUUGUAUUUAUGCCCUGUUAUGAUUUCAUGGUUAUGCCUUUCUUUAGAUUUUUCUGUUGAAACCUUCUUGGGAAGACUGGUAUCUUCUUAGAGUUGUUAUUCCGAACAUGCUUACUAUAGAAUUUCAUGCCAGAUUUUUCAUAUGUGAAUCACUAUCUGUUGGUUUCUCUGAAUUAUCUCUUGACCAUGCUCUUACUUCAGUUCUCUUUCAUGACAAAAUCUCUCAUGUAAAGGCUUUUAGUUGGGCAUUUUCUCGGAGUUAGUUUUGGAUCGUGUCUUGCUUUAAAAUUAUCAUGCCAGGGAUUCCCUAUCAGAAUUGCUGUCUUUUCAUAGUUAGUCAUUGAUCAUGUGUUACUAUAGGUUUCAUGUUAGGUCUUUAAUCUGAGUAUUUCUGAAUAAGCUAUUGAUUAUGUUUCAUCUGGAUUUCCUGUUAAGUCUUGCCUACAUGAACUAUCAUCCCCUCGGAAUUCGUUGUCUAGCAGGAACUCCUAUUUGGCUAUCCUUUUAGAAUUGGUUCAUGACUAUGUUUGCCUCGAACCCCUGUUUGUUACUUUUUGUGAUUAAGUCCUGACUAUUCUAUGGUACCCAUCCCUCUGAUAUUGUCACUUUGAACCUAUUUGAUAGACCUAGGAAGCUAUCGUAUAUAUUCAUUCUAUGUGUUCUGCAUAUCCUCCAUAAUGUAUGUGUCUGUAGGAGUCUUUAAGUGGCUCUCAAAUGUGCUUCAUGUUUGUAUCCUUGGGAUGUUUAUUUAGAAACACCUGCUCUUGCUAGUUGUAGUGCUAUGAACAAGAUGUGUGUAUGCUCCCGCCUAGAAUUUUAAGUUAUCAGAAUGAUUUGGUUUAUAUGGGUUGUCAUUCGUGUCUUCAUGCUCUCAUUGGUUGUAAUUGAUAAUGGGUGGAUAAGGGAAUUGUUUCUAUUGUUCAAGCCUGGACUGCUGGGUUAAGUUUUGGUAUUGGGCUUUGAAGUAUAUCGUCAGCACAUAGAGUAUUGGGUCGUUGUCCGUCUAAAGUCUUAAGCCUACUUGAAGGCCCAGAUGCAUUACUAGGUUACUUUACAUUUGUAAUUGGGUCUAUAGUUAUUUUAUUUGGGCCUGUAAUAAUUUAUAGAAAACAAAUGAUUGGUGAAAUUAGUUAAAAGGGGAUAGGGUAUUUUAAAUUUCGUACAAACGGGUAGAAAACAUGCCUAUAGGGUCCAAAUGAUCUUAUUUGCUACUUAUUUGCCAUGUUUUUAUUUUGGGCACUACCUGCUAAUAGACAGCAUGCCUAUAGGACCCUCAACUUUGUAUAUUCGCUUAGAAAUCAUGAUCUAGGACCCUAAGUAGCUGUUGAUUCAAUGCUGCCAAUGUGAUUUAUAACUUGUUUAGAAGACAUGCCUAUAGGACAAACUCCGAGUUAACUAGUUUGAAUAUUUACUCCUCCGCUUAAAAAUCAUGUAUUAGAAUUCAACACUUAGCUAUCAUCCCUAUAGGAGUUUUUGUUAUGUAAUUGAAACUACUUGUGCUAUUAUGUCCUUCAGCCAUGUUCUUCACACUUAUCCUCUAAGAGAUCUUGACUAUGGAGUCUAAAAAUAAGGAUUUGCAUCACUUAACUGCUGAUCUAUCUAAAAACAAUAAAAAAAGAUCGUUUAGAAAUCUUGCAUAUAUGGCUUAAACAAGGAAUCCUGCUUAUUUGUGUCACGGCCCAAAAUCCUAAACUUUCGUGAUGGCACCUAUCGUGGUAGGCAAGCCGACAUCUCUAAAUAUUCCCAACACUUUUAACAGAAAAUGAAUUAAAGCAGUUCAAACAAUGAAAGUUCUCAAAAAUGGGAUAGAAACCCAAAACACAACGUGGAAGUUCCCAACUAUCGGGGUGUCACAGAGUACAUGAGUAUUUACACAUCACAUGUUUGGAAAAUACUGUCUGUGAUAGUCUGAACUAAAUACAAUAAAUGGAAAGAUAGGAAAGGAGAGACAAGGUCUGCGAAAUGCCGGCAGCUACCUUGGAAUCUCCAGAAGAUCAACUGUGCGCUGAAAUCAACACCCACUGUGUCCGGAAACACCUGGAUCUGCACACGAAGUGCAGGGUGUAGCGUGAGUACAACCAACUCAGUAAGUAACAAGACUAAAUAAAGAACUGAAAGUAGUGACAAGUUUCACAGUCAAAGUUCAAGUACAGUGAUUUCAACAUUAGGAAAGUAGGCAUGCUUUCAAGUUCGACAAUAAAGGCAAAAACAGUUAAUUCAUGUCAAGUUCAACUGAAACAGAAGGUAAUAUCUCUCAGAGAUUUCAAGACAGUGAUAUAUGACAGCGGAAGUCCAACAAUAAUGAAGUCAAUGCAUCAUCUCAGAGCAAUAGUCACUCAGUCCUCCCAUACACUCCAACCUCACAAUCACUCUUUCCUCACAAUCACUCAUUCCUCUCAAUCACUCGGCACUCGGCACUCUCACUCAGUAGGUACCUGCGCUCACUAGGGGUGUGUACAGACUCCGGAGGGACUCCUUCAGCCCAAGCGCUAUAACAAGCUAAUCAUGGAAUAUAUCGAUGAAAUAUUUUACGGCGUGCAAUCCAAUCCCUUAAACAUCCUCACAAUCAGGCCCUCGACCACACUCAGUCCUCAACCUCGCCAGUCUCUCGGGCUCUCAAAAAUCAUGAUAAGCAGCCCAAAUAGCAAUAAUAUGAUGCAUCAAUAAUGAACGAUAGAGACUGAGAUGUAAUAUACAAUUAAAACUGUGACUGAGUACAAAACAAUAAUUUAGUAGAUAAUUCAACAUGUACACGACCUCUGUGGGUCCCUACAGUGCCAACGCAUAAUCUAAACAUGAUUUCUAGCAUGAUGUGUGGUUCAAUUUCUCUAAUACAUGGAAAAUGUAGAGAUAACAACAGAUUAUUCAACUACACACUUCCAUGGAAUUUGACCAAGUCACAAUUCCUACGGUGUACGCCCACACGCCUGUCACCUAGCAUGUGCAUCACCUCAAAACCAAAUACGUAACACGUAAUUCGGGGUGUCAUACCCUCAGAACCAAAUUUAGAAUUGUUACUAACCUCAAUCUGAGCAAAUCUCUACACCAAUACACCCUUGCCUCGCAAAACGACCAUAGAAUGACUUGAAUCUAGCCAUAAACAAUUUGAUAUAAUCAAUACGGGCUAAAGGAAUAAAAUCCAUAAGAAAAUGCUAAGUUAUUAAUCAAAAGUCAAAAAUUGACUCAAAAGCCGGCCCCCGGUCCCACGUCUCGAAAUUCGAUGAAAGUCACAAAACUCGGAAUCCCAUUCAACCACGAGUCCUCCAUACCAAAUUUAUCAAAAUCCGACACCAAAUCGUCCCCAAAAUCCCCAAAUCAAACUCUCCAAAUCCUUGGCCUUAAACCCUCAAUUUACACCUUAAUUACACACCACUAGGUGGAAAAAUCAAUGGGGAAACAAGAUUAUUGAUCAAAAAAGAGCACAAGGGACUUAUCUCAAGAAUCCCUUCGAAAACCCUCUCAAGAAUCGCCAAAACCCGAGCUUAAAAUAUUGAAAUGAAGCCAGAAUCGCGAACUCUUGUAUUUAAGUGUUCUGCCAGUACUUCCAUUUCUGCGAAAACUUAACCUCUUCUGCGGCAUCACAUAGGUGACAUCACACACGCACCUGCAGCUCAUUCUGCUCGUGCGGUCCCUCACUCCGCUUCUGCGGACUCGCUUUUGCGAGCAUUGAAGCCGUUUCUGCGGACCAAGUUUAUCUACCCAAUUUCGCUUCUGCAUUCCCCCUGCCGCAUUUGCGGUCACGCUUGUGCGGAAUUCCAUAUCGCACCUGCGCGCCUUCCUCUUCUGCGCAACUCUCACCGCACCUUCAUCUACGCAGGUGCAAAAAACUCCUAGCACCUGCGAACACCUCCACACUCCCCUCCAAACGCGCACCUGCGCAAGCCAGCUCACACAUGCGAUCAAAGCUCUGCAGGUGCGGUUACAGCAGCAGAGGUCUAUCUUCAGCAAUCUCUCCACUUCAACUUUUGAUCCGUUAACCAACCGGAAUCAACCCGAGGCCUCCGGGACCUCAAAAAAACAUACUAACAGGUGCUAAAACCUCAUACAAACUUAGUUGAGCCCUCAAAUCACAUCAAACAACUUCAAAAAUACGUAUCGCACCCCAAUUCAAGCCUAUUGAAACUAAGGAAAUUCAACUUCUACAAACGACGCCGAAACCUACCAAAACACGUCCGAUUGACCCCAAAGUUUGCACAUAAGUCACAUUUGACAUUACAGACCUACUCCAACUUUCGAAAUCAGAAUUCAACCCCCAUAUCAAAAAGUCCAUUCCCGGUCAAACUUUCCACAAAUUCAACUUUCGCCAUUUCAAGCCUAAUUCCACUACGAACCUCCAAAUCACAAUCCGGACACGUUCGUAAGUCCAAAAUUACCUAACAAAGCUAACAGAACCAUCAAAACUCCAUAAUAGCUAUAAAGUACAAAAUGAGCAGUAAAUGGGGGAAACGAGGCUAUAACUCUCAAAAUGACCGGCUGGGUCGUUACAUCCUCCCCUUCUUAAACAAACGUUCGUCCUCGAAUGGGUCAAGAAAUGUACUUGGAGUCUCAAAUAGGUGUAGAUAUAUACUCCGCAUCUCCCGCUCGGUAUCUCACAUAGCCUCCUCAAUUGGCUGACCUCUCCACUGCACAUUCACCGAAGCUAUGUCCUUUGACCUCAACUUCCGAACCUGUCGAUCCAAAAUAGCCACCGGCUCUACAUCAUAAGUCAAAUCACCAUCCAACUGAACCGUGCUGAAAUCCAAAACUUGAGACGGAUCGCCGACAUACAUCCGUAACAUAGAAACAUGAAACACUGGAUGCACACUCGACAAACUAGGUGGCAAAGAAAGCUUGUAAGCCACCUUGCUAAUCCUCUAAAGUACCUCAAAUGGCCCAAUAUACCGAGGGCUCAACUUUCCCUUCUUACCGAACCUCAUGGGUGAAACCUUGAGCAGUACCUUCUCCCCAACCAUGUAAGCAACAACACGGACCUUCCUGUCGGCAUAACUAUUCUGUCUAGAUUGCGCCGUGCAAAGCCGCUCCUGAAUCAUCUUAACCUUGUCCAAAGCAUCCUGAACCAAGUCAGUACCCAAUAGCCUAGCCUCACUCGGCUCAAACUAAACCACCAGAGAUCUACACCGUCUCCCAUACAAAGCCUCAUACGGAGCCAUCUGAAUGAUCGACUAGUAGCUGUUGUUGUAGGCCAACUCUAUGAGCGGCAGAAACUGAUCCCAUGAACCCCCAAAAUCAAUGACACAAGCGUGUAGCAUGUCCUACGAUAUCUGAAUAGUGCGCUCAGACUGUCCGUCAAUCUGAGGGUGAAACGCUGUACUCAACUCAACCUAGGUAUCCAACUCUUGCAGCACGGCUCUCCAAAACAGUGAUAUAAACUACGUGCCCCGAUCUGAAAUGAUUGACACUUGCAUGCAGUGGAGAGGGAAAAUCUCUCGAAUGUAAAUCUCAGCCAACCGCUCUGACGUAUAAGUAGUCCAAACUAGAAUGAAGUGUGUGGACUUGGUCAGCCGAUCAACAAUCACCCAAAUGGCAUUGAACUUCCUCGAAGUCUGUGGUAGCCUGACUACAAAAUCCAUAGUGAUCCGCUCCCAUUCCACUCCGAAAUCUCUAACAUCUAAAGUAAUCCUCCCGGUCUCUGAUGCUCAUACUUCACCUGCUGACAGUUGAAGCACCGAGCUACAAACCCCGCUCUAUUCUUCUGCACCAAUAAUACUGCCUCAAGUCCUGAUACAUCUUCGCGGCACGCGAAUGAAUGGAAUAACGCGAGUUGUGGGCCUCCUCGAGAAUCAACUCACGUAGCCCAUCUACAUUAGGCACACAAAUCCGACCCUGCAUCCUCAAUACUCCAUCAUCCCCAAUAGUAACAUCUCUGGCAUCACCGUGCUGAACCGUGACUUUAACGAUAAGAAAAUGGGGAUCAUCAUAUUGACGCUCUCUGAUGCGAUCAUAUAAGGAAGACCAAGAAACCACACAGGCUAGAACCUGGUUGGGCUCCAAAACAUAUAAGCUUAUGAACUGGUUGGCCAAGUCAUGAACAUUAACUACAAGAGGUCUCUCACCAACUGGAAUGAAUGAAAGGCUACCCAUACUCACUGCUUUUCUAUUCAAGGCAUCGGCCACCACAUUGGCCUUCCCAAGAUGAUAUAGAAUAGUGAUAUCAUAAUCCUUUAGCAGCUCCAACCAUCUAUGCUGCCUCAAAUUUAGAUCCUUCUAUUUCAAAUAGUGCUGGAGACUCUGAUGAUCUAUAAACACCUCACAAGAUACACCAUAGAGAUUAUGCCUCCAAAUCUUCAAUGAAUGAAUGAUGGCAGCUAACUCCAAAUCAUGGACAGGGUAGUUCUUCUCAUGAAGCUUCAACUGGCACGAAGUAUAAGCAAUGAGUCUACCCUCCUACAUCAACACACGUCCAAUACCAAUGCGAGAAGCAUCACAAUACACUAUAUAAGAGCUUGAAGCUGAAAGCAAAACUAGAACUGUAGUUGUGGUCAAGGCAGUCUUGAGCUUCUAAAAGCUCUCCUCACACUUAUCCAUCCACCAAAAAAUAGCACCCUUUUGGGUCAAUUUGGUCAAAGGCGAUGCAAUAGAUGAGAAACCCUCCACGAAUCGAUGAUAAUAACUAGCCAAGCUGAGAAAGCUUUGAAUCUCGGUAGCUGAGGACGGUCUGGGCCAACUCUGGAACGCCUCUAUCUUCUUCGGAUCCACCUGAAUCCCCUUACUGGAUACCACGUGCCCCAAGAAUGCCACUGAGCUAAGACAAAACUCACAUUUGGAGAAUUUAGCAUAAAUCUUCUCCUCCCUCAACCGCUAUAACACACUCCUCAAAUACUGGGCAUGCUCAUUUUGGCUACGAGAGUACACCGGGAUGUCAUCAAUGAACACUAUGACAAACGAGUCAAGAUAAGGCUGAAACUGUUCAUCAAAUGCAUGAAUGUUGCUGGGUCGUUGGUCAGCCCAAAAGACAUUACGAGGAACUCAUAAUGACCAUAACAGGUCCUGAAUGCUAUCUUGAGAACAUCCGAGUCUCGAAUCUUUAACUGGUGAUCCCCAGACCUCAAGUCAAUAUUAGAGAACACCCUCGCUCCCUGAAGCUGGUCAAAUAUAUCAUCAAUGCGUGACAAACGAUACUUGUUCUUGAUUGUAACUUUGUUGAACUACUUGUAAUCAAUGCACAUCUGCAUAGUACCAUCUUUCUUCUUCACAAACAGAAUCGGUGCACCCCAAGGCGACCCACUGGGCCUAAUAAACCCCUUAUCAUGAAGUUCCUGAAGCUGCUCCUUCAACUCCCUCAACUCAGCCGGUGCCAUACGAUGCAGUGGAACAGAAAUGGGCUGAGUGUCCGGCACCAAGUCAAUACCGAAAUCAAUAUCCCUGUCGGGUGGCAUGCCCGGCAGAUCUGCAGGAAACACAUCCGGAAAAACUCGCACCACCGGAACAAAAUCAAUAGUAGGAGUAUCAGCACCAACAUCCCUCACAAAGGCCAAAUAAGAUAAGCAANNNNNNNNNNNNNNNNNNNNNNNNNNNNNNNNNNNNNNNNNNNNNNNNNNNNNNNNNNNNNNNNNNNNNNNNNNNNNNNNNNNNNNNNNNNNNNNNNNNNNNNNNNNNNNNNNNNNNNNNNNNNNNNNNNNNNNNNNNNNNNNNNNNNNNNNNNNNNNNNNNNNNNNNNNNNNNNNNNNNNNNNNNNNNNNNNNNNNNNNNNNNNNNNNNNNNNNNNNNNNNNNNNNNNNNNNNNNNNNNNNNNNNNNNNNNNNNNNNNNNNNNNNNNNNNNNNNNNNNNNNNNNNNNNNNNNNNNNNNNNNNNNNNNNNNNNNNNNNNNNNNNNNNNNNNNNNNNNNNNNNNNNNNNNNNNNNNNNNNNNNNNNNNNNNNNNNNNNNNNNNNNNNNNNNNNNNNNNNNNNNNNNNNNNNNNNNNNNNNNNNNNNNNNNNNNNNNNNNNNNNNNNNNNNNNNNNNNNNNNNNNNNNNNNNNNNNNNNNNNNNNNNNNNNNNNNNNNAAGAUUCACGUCGAAGUCCACCAUACUAAGUAAUAAAAGAUCAACUCUAGUCUCCAAUCCCCCAAUAGUGACUACACAUGACCGAUAUACACGGUCCACAAUAAUAGUAUCGCCCACUGGCAUAGAUACAUGAACAGAUGAAACUAAGGACUCACGGGGCAUAACUAGAAAAUAAGCAAAAUACGAUGAUACAUACGAACAAAUAGAACCAAGGCCAAAUAAUAUAGAGGCAUCCAUGUGGCAUACUGAAACAAUACCUGUGAUCACUGCUUCGUAAGCAACAAUAUCUAUUCUGGCAAGAAUAGCAUAGAAUUGGGCCUGGCCUCCACCUGAUCGUCCUCUCCCUCUUGGACGACACCUAGCUGACUAAGCCCUACCCCGAGCUAGCUGGGCGGGUGGUGAAGUAACUAGUGCUGAAGUCGCAACCUGACUCCUCUGCUGCACUGAACCUCCCAGGCGACGAUGAGACUACCUCCACAUAUGACAAAACUCCCCGCACUCAAAGAAACUCCCCGGUGCUGGUGGUGGGGACUGAAUAAAGCCCCGAUCACCGGGAUAACUGCUAGAAGGACCCGACAUAGAUGAACCCUUAGAUGAUAAAGCACGGAAUAAACUCUGAGCUGGAAGGGCACUGAGAGAUGACUGACCCUGAUGAGAACUGUACGAAUCAUGGCUGGAUGAUGCAAAACGGUGAACUAGACGAGUAGUCUGAGCGUGCCUAUAAGAAAGACCCCUGCCGUGGAAGAACUGACCUCUAGAAGGAACACCGCCGAAACUACCCGAUCCAGGAGGCCUCUUAACCUCCCUCUCUCCAUGCUGCUGGCUACAAACUAACUCUAUAUGCCGAGCAAUAUCAACCAUCUCAUCGAAAGUAGCACCAGACACCCUCUAAGCAACCCCAGCUGAUAUGUGAGGCCAUCAAUGAACCUCCUAAUCCUCUCCCUAUCAAUGGGAACCAACCAAACUACGUGACGAGCCAACUCAAAAAACCUCAUCUCGUAUUGCAUCAUAGACAUGCCUUCAUGUCGUAACUGCUCAAACUGUCUACGUAGCUCCUGCCUACGAGACUACAUCACGAACUUCUCCAAGAAAAGAGCGGAGAAUUACUACCAUGUAAGUGGUGCUGCACCAACCGGCAUGCGCCUCUCAUAAGCCUCCCACCAUCUGAAGGCAGCCCUAGUGAACUGAAAAGUAGUGAAAGAGACCUCACUAGUCUCACGAAUACCAGGCGUGCGAAAAAUCUGUUGGCACUUAUCCAAGAAACCUUGGGCAUCCUCUAACUCAACACCGCUAAAUAAUGGAGGCUGAAGCCUCCCAAAUCUCUUAAGUCUUCUCUGCUCAUCAUCAGUCAUAACGGGGAGCACCGGGGCCUGAGCAGCUGCAACCGGCUGGGCUGGUAAUACCCCCAGUGUCUGAAGUCCCUGCAUCACCCGCUCUAGAGUACGGGCGGCGGGGGUAUGUAUACCUUCCAUGGCCUGAGAAGUGGCUGGUGUGGCCUGAGCCGUAACAACCUGAGCAAGGCCAGUACAAAUCGUCAAUAUCUGGGCCAAAGCCUCAUGAAGGCCUGGAACCACAACAGGCACAGCUAGUGUCUGAGCUGGCCCCACUGGCUCAACUACAUCUGGAACCUGCUCCUGAGCCGGAGCAACUGGUGGAUCUGCAGGUGCUGCUCUAGCUAUUGUACGAGCUGCACCUCUGCCCCUACCAUGGCCCCUACUGCCACCUCAGCCUCUCGUGACCCUAGCUGGUGGUACUGGUGGUUGUCCAUAUUGUUUGGUAGCACGUGUCCUCACCAUCUUUGAGAGAAUAGAGUACAAAAGUUUAGUUACCAAAAUCAACAAAUCUGCACGACAAGAAUACAUGAAUGUGAAGUAUCCUAAGGGUUCGGCAGCCUCUCGAAGAUAAGUACAGACGUCUCCGUACCGAUCCACAAGACUCUACUAAACAUACUCAUGACUCUUGAGACUUAUGUAACCUAGGCUUUGAUACCAACCUGUCACGACCCAAAAUUCCAACCUAUCGUGAUGGGGCCUAUCGUCGUACUAGGCAAUCCAACAUUUAGAAAUAGUCCCAACACUUUUAACAGAAAAUAAAUUAAAGCAGUUUAAACAAUGAAAGUUCUCAUAAACGGGAUAUAAACCCAAAACACAACGCGAAAGUUCCCAACUAUCGGGGUGUCACAGAGUACAUGAGCAUCUAUAUAUCACUAGUUUAGAAAAUACUGUAUGUGAUAGUCUGAACGAAAUACAAUAAAUGGAAAGAUAGGGAAGGAGAGACAAGGUAUGCGAAUAGCUACUUUGGAAUCUCCAGAAGAUCAACUAUGCACUGAAAUCAACACCCACCAUGUCCGAAAAUACCUGGAUCUGCACACAAAGUGCAUGGUGCAGCGUGAGUUCAACCAACUCAGUAAGUAACAAGACUAAAUAAAGAACUGAAAGUAGUGACGAUCUUCACAGUCAGUUCUCCCAUACACUCCAACCUCACAAUAACUCUUUCCUCACAAUCACUCAUUCCUCUCAAUCACUUAGCACUCGACACUCGGCACUCUCACUCAGUAGGUACAUGCGCUCACUAUGGGUAUGUACAGACUCCGGAGGGGCUCCUUCAGCCCAAGAGCUAUAACAAGCCAAUCAUGGCAUAUAUCAGUGAAACAUGCUGCGGCGUACAGCCCGAUCCCAUAAACAUCCUCACAAUCAGGGCCUCGGCUUCACUCAGUCAUCAACAUCUCUAGUCUCUCGGGCUCUCGGAAAUCAUGAUAAGCAUCCCAAACAGCAAUAAUAUGAUGCAUCAAUAAUGAACAAUAGAGACUGAGAUGUAAUAUACAAGUAAAACUAUGACUGAGUACAAAACAGCAAUUUAGCAGAUAAUUCAACAUGUACACGACCUAUGUGGGUCCCUAUAGUGCCAACACAUAGUCUAAACAUGAUUUCUAGCAUGAUUUGUGAUUCAAUUUCUCUAAUACAUAGAGAAUGUACAAAUAACAACAGAUUAUUAAACUACACAGCCCCAUGGAAUUUGACCAAGUCACAAUUCCUGCGGUGCACGCCCUUAUGCCCGUCACCUAGCAUGUGUGUCACCUCAAAACCAAAUAUGUGACAUGUAAUAUGGGGUGUCGUACCCUCAGAACCAGAUUUAGAACUGUUACUUACCUCAAUCCGAGCAAAUCUCUACUCCAAUACACCCUUGCUUCACAAAACGGCCUCCGAAGAAAAUGCUAAAGGAAUAAACUCCAUAAGAAAAUGCUAAGUUUUUAAUCAAAAGCCAAAAAUCCACUCAAAAGUCAGAUCCCGGGCCCACGUCUCGAAAUUCGAUAAAAGUCAUAAAACUCGGAAGCCCAUUCAACCACGAGUCCAACCAUAUCAAAUUAAUGAAAAUCUGACACCAAAUCGUCCCCCAAAUCCCCAAAUCAAACUCUCUAAAUCCCUAGUCUUACCCUCAAUUUACACCUUAAAUAUACACCAACAAGUUGAGAAAAUCAAUGGGGAAAUAAUAUUAUUGAUAAAAAAUGAGCACAAGGGACUUACCUCAAGAAUCCCUUCGAAAACCCUCUCAAGAGUGGCCAAAACCCGAGCUCAAAAUGUUGAAAUGAAGCCAAAAUCGCAAACCCUUGCAUUUAAGUGUUCCGCGAGCACUUUAGCUUCUGAGGAAACAUAACCGCUUCUGCAGCGUCACAGAAGCGGCAUCACACACGCAUCUGCGGCUCAUUCUGCUUCUGCAGUCCCUAACUUUGCUUCUGCGGACUCACUUCUAUUAGCAUCCACGCCACUUCUGUGGACCAAGCUCAUCUGCCCAGUUCCACUUCUGCGGUCCCCCUGCCGCAUCUGCGGUCACGCGGGUGCGGAAUUCCCUAUCACACCUGUGCGCCUUCCGCUUCUGCGCACCUGCGGUCAUGCAGGUGCAAAAAACUCAACGCACCUGCGACCACCUGCACAAUCCCCUCCAACUCGCACCUACGCAAGCCAGCCCACACCUACCAGCUCGCACCUGUGAUCAAAGCUCUGCAGGUGCGGUUACACCAGCAGAGGUCUAUCUUUAGCAAUCUCUCCACUUCAACUUUUGAUCCAUUAACCAACCGGAAUCAACCCGAGGCGCCCGGGACCUCAACAAAACAUACUAACAGGUGCUAAAACCUCAUACAAACUUAGUUGAGCCUUCAAAUCACAUCAAACAACUUCAAAAACACGGAUCGCACCCCAAUUCAAGCCUAUUGAAACUAAGGAAAUUCAACUUCUACAAACAACGCCGAAACGUAUCAAAACACAUCCGAUUAACCCCAAAUUUUGCACAUAAGUCACAUUUCACAUUACGGACCUACUUCAACUUUCGAAAUCGGAAUUCGACCCCGAUAUCAAAAUGUCCACUCCUUGUUAAACGUUCCAAAAAUUCAACUUUUACCAUUUCAAGCCUAAUUCUACUACGGACUUCCAAAUCACAAUCCGGACACGCUCCUAAGUCAAAAAUCACCAAACAGAGCUAACGAAACCAUCAAAACUCCAUUUCGGAGUAGUUUACUUAUAGAUCAACAUCCGGUUAAUCAUUUCAACUUAAGCUUUCAACCUUAAGACUAAGUAUUUCAUUUCAGUCUGAAAUCUCUCCGGACCCGAACCGACUACCCCGGCAAGUCAGAUAAUAGCUAUAAAGUACAAAAUGAGUUGUAAAUAGGGUAAACAGGUCUAUAACUCUCAAAACGAUAGGCCGAGUCGCUACAGUUUGAUUACCUGCGUAUGAAUUCUAAGCAUGAUUAAUUAUAACUGAUCGCCUAUGUAUUCGUAUAGAGCCCAUGCCUUAGGCUUAAUUAAUUCCAUACACAACUGCUUGUCUUAGAAGAGCAUUUGUCUUGUCCAUUCUGCUAUUGUCUAUCGUUGUUGUUUGACCAUUACUCGACGUGCAUAUGAAUCUACGUGUAGAGGUAAACAUGAGCCCAUUUAUUCUAAUUGUUGCAUUAUAUGGAGUCAUAUUUGUUUCUAUUACAUGACGCCUAGUCUUCUAAUUUUGAGCAUCCUACGAAGAGUCGAGAACCACCUAUAUAGAGGCCAAUGCCUCAUGGACCAUAAGCAUGGGAUGGUUAGGCACAAGUAGGGUACGACCUAGAAUCGAAUUAGUGGGCUUUAGGUUAACAACUUAUAAUAGUAAUCGGGUAGCUGGACAUGAUAGUUUAUGAUCGCUAGAUAAUAUAAGAAACUAUUGCACUCAUAAGGGUUGUGAAGUAUUAUUUAUGUUGCACGGGGGUGAUCCUUCGGGCUUAAAUAUUUAGGACCGCGCAUUGUGUUUAAUUGUUCCUUGUAUAUUUAGUUUGUUGGAAUCUAGAUUCAACUAAGUUACACCUUGUAGUCUCCAAGGAGUUGUACCAAUUAGUUUGUUAAUGAAUGAAGUUUACUCUUGCAGAUUAUUUCUUUCAUUAUUUGCGCAGUAUUUCUUCGACUAAUUAUCUCCUUUCACUUAGAAAUAACUAAUUUCUUACCUAGACCUUUGCUCUUUUAGUUUAAUAAUAAACUCAUUUUGCAUGACCACUUAGGAUAAAUAGCUAUAAAUUCGAUAAAUCCCACAUAAUAUGAAAUUCGGCUGAGAACCACAGUUGUGGACCUCGAAGAGUACCUAACACCUUCUCUCCGAGGUAAUUUGAGACCUUACCCGAUCUUUGGUAAUACAUACUAGUUGAAACAGAGUUAUUUAAAAAUAGGUUCCUUAAUGCACCUUAAAAUCGUUAGGUGGUGACUUUUCUCUUUUAAUACCUAUUUAAAAGAGUUAUCAAGUGUCGAAAUCCGCUUUCGCGAGAAAAUAAGGCGUGACACCAUCGCGACUAUGCUGGGGAUUACUUAGGCUUUUACAAUAACAAUUUAUGCCUGUGUGGAGUUGGUCAUUGAAAUGCUUUAUUUGACUUCUUUCAUGCAUAUCCUUUUCCCGUCUCUUUACUUGCUUGAAAUUGUUAUACCAUGAACCUCUCUUUCCUCUCUCAUCUAUUUGCUUUAUUGGUUUAAUUAUGUUUUUCGAACUUUGUGAACCAUGCUAACUAUUUCAUUUUUUUUUCUUUUUCUUUUUCUUUUUCUUCCUUUCUUAUUUUAUCGCAUUAUUUAAUACUGCAUUUAUGUACUUUUGACCAUCUAAAAUUACAUGACUAUAUAUUACUUCUUUUUGCUUAAGCAUGCUUUCAAGAUUAUAUUCUACUCGUGCCCAUUAUCAACAUAGCGACGCUUGAUGAGUGUCCGCAUUUUUCAAAAAUACCCUUUUUAAAUCAGAAAGGCUUAUUAGCGGUAGACUAGUCGAUCAGUGGUGCAGUCGACGGUCCCGUGCCUUUCCCUCUCAAGUUGUCCGCUUGAGAGUAUGGAUCUAGACCAUUUUUAGAAACCUACUCUAAUUGGAAUACGCAUGUAUCAUGUUAAACCUAGAAUGUAUUAAAUACCCAUGGCAUAUUAAAUCCAUUUAGAUAAACCUUGUCCAAAGUCCUAAGGGAUCUCUACAAUCCCGAGGGACACAUUCAUACUAUGUGCAUUACUUGGAGAAAAUGUGCCAAUGUGUUGGUUAUUAUCGCUUAAUUAAUCAAAUCAGGAGAGGGAAGGGAUAACUCUUUUCUUCUAUGCAUAACAAUGAAGCACAACGUUCGUAGGUUCGGUAUGGUCCAGAACAUUCCACCCAAGUUGAUCUAUUGGUGGAUCGACCUCCCUCAGUAUGAUAGUGUGAUGAUCAGUUGAUGAGGAGGUGUAUUCCUAAAAAGGAGAUGGAAUUGGUGUUGUAUGACUGCCAUGCCUCACCUUAUGGAGGCCAUCAUGGAGGCGAUAGGACAUAUGCAAAGGUGUUACAAUCGGUGUUCUAUUGUCCAAUAUUAUUCAAGGAUGUCCAUGUAUUUGUUAAGAAGUGUGAACAGUGUCAAAGAACAGGAACAAUCACGAGGAGGCAUGAAAUGCCUUUGAAUAAUAUCCCGGAGGUAGAGAUUUUUUAUGUGUGGGGCAUAAACUUCAUGGUACCAUUCCCAUUGUCUAUAGGAAACAAUUAUAUUUUGCUAGCGGUGGAUUAUGUAUCAAAAUGGGAAGAGGCGGUCACAUUGCCAACCAAUGAUGCCAAGGUGGUAUCCACUUUUGUGAAGAAAAAUAUAUUCUCGUGAUUUGGGACUCAACGUGCCUUGAUUAGUGAUGAAGGAACACAUUUUUGCAAUCUAUUAUUGAAUAACCUUCUAGCCAAAUAUGGAGUCCGCCAUAAAGUUUCCAUAUCAUAUCAUCCGCAAACAAGUGGUCAGGCUAAAGUGUCAAACAGAGAAAUAAAGCAGAUAUUAGAGAAGACAAUGAGUGUGAACAGGAAAGAUUGGCUGCAAAGCUAGAUGAUGCCUUGUGGGAAUAUAGAACUGCAUACAAAACACCAAUUGUGGUGUCCCCGUAUAAGCUUGUUUAUGGGAAGGAAUAUCACUUGCCGGUUGAACUUGAACAUAAGGCGCAUUGGGCGGUCAAGAAGUUGAAUAUGGACUUUGAAGUCGCGGGUAAGAAGAGGUUCUUGCAGUUAGAUGAUAUAGAUGAGUUCAGGCUGCACUCCUAUGAAAAUGCUAAGCUUUACAAGGAGAAAACAAAAAAGAUGGCAUGACAAGUGUAUCAAGUCGCUUCACUUUGAACCGGCCCAAAAGGUACUAUUGUUCAAUUCUAGGCUUAAGUUAUUUCUUGGAAAGUUAAAAUCGAGGUGGUCAGGUCCAUUUGAGGUGGUGAGAGUCACUACUUAUGGUGCAAUUGAGUUGCGUGCUUUAAAUGGUGAAAGAAAGUUUUUGGUUAAUGGGCAAAGAGUCAAGCAUUAUUGGGGAGGUGUCAUUGAUCGUCAGAGAUCCAAAGUAAUACUCGCUAACGAGUAAGCGAGGCCCUGCAUCAUGUCGCGAUAUUAAAUUAGGUGCUUGUUGGGAGGCAACCCAAUUUAUAGUGUAGUGUAGUUAGUUUAAUUAGCUUUUAACGUUGAUUUUAGGUACUAACGAGUCUUGGUUGAAUUUUGAGGUUUGAAUAGGUACGAGAGCAUGUAAGAGGCUAAUUAAACUCAUAAGGAAGUCCAAAAUACGAAGGAUCUCUCUACAGAAUUGGCCUGGCCCAGCCCAGCGUGCACGCCCAUCUCGCGUUACACUGGGCGUCGCUUGGCCAAGUGCUAAGUCUAGCUCGUGCCCCAAUGGGCGUCGCAGGCAUGAAGCUUGCAUCACAGUGAGCAUCGCCCAGCCUAGCACCCGGUACAGCUCGCGUGAGAGUGGGCGUUGCCAGGUAAGUUUUCUUUUCAUUUUAAUUUUAAAAACCCUCAACACUCCAUUCUAACACCCUCUUACAAUAUAAGACACAAACACACGCACAACACUCCCUCACAAACACACACUGCCACCCUCUCAUCUCUCCCCUUCUCUCAACCAAACCCGUCCCAUUCUCAUCUCACUCAACACUCUCUCAAAAUUCACCACUAAUUGAAGACUCUCUCCUCCUCUACAACAUUCAAGGUAUGGAUUCUUCUCUUCUUCCCUCUAGUUUGGGAACAAUUGAGGUAACAAUUACAAAGUGAAAAAUCUAUGAGUGCUAUGAAUGAGAAAUUUUUCAUGCUUGUCCCAACCCCAUAAGACCCCUUAGGAUUGUUAUUCUUGUUGUUUAUAUGAGUGUGUACACUCGAAUCCCAAUCCAAUUUGGGAGGGUGAGGCAAUCCCUAACCCACACAAAAGCUUCAAUCAUACUAGUGCGUACCGUGUGUUUGACAGAAUGUUUCAAAAGCAUGUUAUGUUCCAAUUGGAGCCCGAGUCUCCCGGAUUGAUACACUAGGAGGUUGUAAACAUCCCGAACAUCAAAAUUAAGUGUGGGGUGGCUCACUAGAGCGGGGUUGAAGGGUUAAAGCAUUGCACUUACAUAGAAUUACAUCAUGAACUAAUAGUCUUGUAGCGCUAAUUAUUGCUUAAAUUCAAGGGUGAAGUCUGAGUAGCCUCGAAUUACUUGACAACUAGAUGCUAAACUGCUAAGUGUGGGGUCGUGCGACCAUGUUUCAAAUUGAUUAAAUGCCUUCUAAAAUUGACUGACGUUCACUUGUGCAGGUACAAAACAAAGAUGGUGCGACCAAAUGAUAAGGGAAUAGGCAAAGUUGCGGCCACCACAAAGGGGAAGACAUCCUUUGUUCCACCACCAAAGAAGCGAAAAGGGGGAGAAGCCACAUCCAGUCAGGCUGAGGGGCUGGGGCAGUUGUAGCAAUGGCAACCUCAGUCCCAAGCCCCAGAGGAAACAAAAGUAUGGAAUUAAAAGUAUACAUGUCUCUCUUAAAGCACGGUACAAGAAUUGUCGCCCCAAGCAUAUGCAUCCUGAUAUGGCCAUUCAGGAGCGUCGCUUAAGAGCUAAGUAUCCGAUGAUCUGGAAAUCUGUUCUUGGAUUGGGCUUUAUAUUUAGGAACCUCAGUGACAUUAAUGUGAAUCUUGUAUGGGAGUUUUAUAUCAGAUUUGAUCCAAAUGAUCCAAAGUCGUACGUUCCUAUUCGGGGUAGAUUGAUUGACUUUUCAGCCACAACAAUCUGCAACUACUUAGGGACCCCAGAUGUCUCACAUGAGCCUCUGGGCAAUUUCAUUACCCUCCCAACGUAUCGAGAACUGAGACACACAUUAUGUGGUGUCAAUUCUAUGGCCGCCUGGGUCUGUGAAAAGAAGACCGGCCUCCAUAAGAAAUUCCCGAAGAAGAAGAUGAAAAUAGAGGCACAUGUUUGGUUGAAGUUGAUUAAAACUCGGUUGCUGCCAUGCAAUCAUAGCGCUUUGAUCAGGAGAGAUAGGGUGUGCUUGCUGUACUUUUUGAUGAUCGGCCAAAAAGUUAAUGUGGGUCGUCUGAUAUGUCACCAAAUGACGCUUAUGAGAAAGAGUAAGAGGGUUGAUAGACUAUUCUUUGGCAAUAUGUUGACUCAAUAUCUGAAGAAGGAAAAGGUAGGAGAGGAGAAAUAAUUUGAUAUAAUCAUCCCAGUACUCCUUCGUGGGAUGGACAUCACUAGCAUCCAUCUGAAGAAUGAGGCUGAUGUGGCUUCCCUCAUUGGUCCUGAAUUAAAUGCUCGAGAUGAUAGUUUUAUGGCCCAUGUUUAUGGGAUGUUGGACCUACAGCUGCAGAUUAGAGGGCGGCUAGGUACCAAGAAGAAAGAGACUAUUUGCAUGCGCAGUACUCACUCCAUGCCCAUGCAGAGCAUCUGGUGGGGCUUGGCCAGGAUCGGUGCUUGCCCGAGGUUGAAAAUGUUGACACGCCCGAGUGUUUUGCGGCUGAGCCAGAGCAUGCUGAUGAGGAUGAUGAGCCAGGGGAUGAUGAUGUAGACUGGGCAACUGCAGACAUGGCCUUCAAUGAUGAGGGCGAUAACGAGGAGUGACCAGGGAGUUUUCGUUUCACCUUACUUGUUUUUAUUGUAUUAUAUGCAUUGAGGUCAUUGCAUAAAAUUAAGUGUGGGGCGGGAAUUCUCUGGAUCAUGUAUAUAGUAGGUUAGUGCUAGUUAGUAUUUUUUUUAGUUUAGUAAUUUUUAUCUUAGAUUCUUUUUUUUUAAGUUGAAAAACAAUUAUUAUUAUAAAAUACAGAGAAUCAAAAAAAAUUAUAUUAGAAAAUUUAAACUUUUCCGGACAAUGGAUCUCGUAGGCGGUUUUCUUGAGGGAUUAAGUCUAACAAAAAAAUUUGAAAAACAAAAACAUGUCUUUUGUUUUCCUUUAGGUAGUAAUAAUCCCCCGUGAUUUUUCUUUGUACCUCGGUUCCUUUUCAUGGGAUGUAGUUGAACCGGAUAAUAAUUUUUUUAUUUUUAGAGUAGAUUAGGAUGUAGGAAAUAAAAGGAAGAAGAAUGAUGUAAUUCCUAGGCACCCAAGACUUGUUUGAUAGUAGCAUAUUUCGGCUUUGGCAUGUGUAGUAUCUUCCUUAUGUUUUAAAAUUAUUCAUGAUGCCUUGAUGAAAUUGGAUAGCAUGUCUUGUGACGCUUAUGUCUCUUUUACUUGACUAUUGUUCACUUUGUGCUAAAUGCUUAAUAUCUUGUGGCUCCGUGAAUACUUGCAUUGUUUGAGAGUCGGAAUGAGACCGUCCUUAGUGAGUCAUGUGUCAUGUGUGAAGUGAGAUUUUGUGUAGUCCAUAUUAUCGUGAUUGAGUCUAGAACUUGCCCGGUAUGUGAGUUGAACCGAAAUUUUAGGUGAUGCUUGGUUUGAAAAAUGAUUUUAGGCUUUAUUUGACCUUUUUGAGCCUAGUGCUUAUUACAAAUAAAAUCUAUCCCUAGUAAACCCUUUUGAGCCUAUAGACUUUUAUUUGGCACCCACAUUACGAGCCUAUAUGUCACGACCCAAAUUCAUGUGACCGGCACCCGGCACAUUAUCUGACCCGAGCGAACCAACUCAUAUGAUGCACCCAAACCAUAUGCAUGAAAAUCAAUUUAACUGCGGAAGCUCUUUAAAAAUCAUAUAUAUAUUCAAGUUAAAUGAUGUAAUAUUUUUCUAAUUCAACAAUACAUGAAGCCUCUCAUAAUCAUAACAAUGAGACUAAGUAAAAUAAAUAUCUUUUCAUGUAUAUCGUGUACAACCCCAUUACUACAACUAUUCAUAAUUAUCUAUGGAGCCUCUAUACCAAGAACAGAAAUCAAUAUUUGGGCCAAUGCCCGUCUAACAAAAAAUAUAAAGAUAACACGAUAGCUAUCACGAAAUAGGAGUGGUGUAUCACAGUAUACUUUGAGAAGAGAGUCAUCCUAGCCAUGUCUUCAUGCACAUAAUAUACUCCUCAUCCUGAAACAUGUAAAGUAAGUGGGGCCCUGGAGCCUGAGUACACCACGGCGGUACUUAAGAAGUGUCAUAGACUCUCUCUAACUCAAGUUCCUGGGACAAGAUUUACAAAAACUAUGCGACCAAUAUUUGACAUAAAGUAAUAAACAGUUAUAUAAAGUAUGAUCUUUAUCAUUUUAAAGAAAAGACAAAUGAAAUGUAAGUCAUGCUAUAAAGUUUUAGAACGUCUCUAUCAACCCAAGAUUUUAAUAGAAAUCAUAUAAAACCAUUUCAAUCUCCUUAAUUCAUUAAAAUUAUUUUCAGCUCCUUAGGCCUAAACAUAAGAAAGUUCUCUUUUACCUUUCAUCGGGAGUACUAUACCGACACCGACAUAAUGAACAACUACUAGGUGAUCGACCUAGCAACAAGUAUUUGACCCUACUUGUCUGGGCGGCUUCCCGUAGUUCCAUACGAGUCGAAUUAAUCUCAUUAAUUUAAGUAAUGAUCAUUUGCCCUCUCAAUGAGGGACUUUAUCCCACAAACCUCGGCUUAGCCUUGGAAUGUGUCCCUACACCGGCACGUAUAAUUCCAUGGUAACGAACUUAACAAUCGAACCAAUCUCGGUGGUCUCCACUAGUAACUCCCAAAAUAUUUUACAUAUCAAAAAUAGAUUCAUAGCAUAAUAGCCUCAAAUGAUCUAUUUUUAUCAAAUCAUGAUUUUCGUAGCUAAUCCAAACCAUGUGAACAAAAUCAAAUGAAUAACCUUUUUCAUGUUAAAACCUUUAGCAAUUUAACAUCAAUCUAAAGAUACAACAAGUGCUACUCCUUUGUUAGAAUUUCAAAAGACAAACUUUUUCAUGAAAACAUAUCUUUAGCACUCAAGCAUUUUAUAUUCUUAUCAAUAGAUAAGUUUUAAUAAAACUUACAAUAUUUUCAUAAGUGUCAAUUUGCCAACAAUUUUUGAAAAUAAGAUUUUUAUAAAAUUACAUGACACUUCAUAAGCAACAAAUUUAGAAACACGUGGUGACAUCUUUUCCGCUUGUCCUCACAAGUACGGAUGUACAUUUAUAAAUAAUAUAAUGUAUCAACUCAAAACAUGCUUUUAGAGAGAAUCCCUCAAAAGGAAGAGUAAGUCUUAAUCAACUUACCUCAAACUUCAAGCUCCAAAAAUACUACAAUGCUCCAAUUGAUUAAAAAUCCCAAAUAUCACGUACAAUUCAAUAUCUACCAUUAGAUAUCCCAACAACAUCAAAACAAAUACGAAAAUAUUUAUAAAUAUCUAUUUAGGCUUCACAAUUUGGCUAUAAGCCUUCAACCAUCCCAAAUUAUCCGAUAGGUUCACCCAUUAGCCUAUUCAAUUUCAUUCUUAUUAUUUAAUACUCAUUUGGAGUCAUUAAUGAUACUACGUUAAUUACCCAAAAUCUUCAAGUCACUAUUCAUUGUCUUCUCCAGCAAAACUCUAAGUUCAAGAACAUCCAUUUCAAGAACUAGUGUUGUAUCUUAUCCAAAUGGUCUCGAUACAAUUCGUUCAUAAAUUAAGUUAUCACGUCUAUUGAAAUUAUUAAAAACUCAAAACAUAUCCAUUUAUAUCAAUUCAUUACUAUUCAUCUUCUUCUUUGCCCAAAAUAUCUUUUUCAAGACCCAUCCUUAGGGUUCAUACAAUAUCCCAUUACAACUUCAAAUAAAACGCAUAAAUAUGCUACUCAUACUCCAAUAUGUCAUAUAUAUAAAGCUCAAGUGAAGAGAUUACCUCUUGAUGGAAGAAUCUCACUUUUUCUCUUUUUAGUGUUCUUGAAGAUUCAACUCAUUUUCUAUGGAUUUGAUCCAUAAUAAUGUUAGUGCUAUCACUAAAUGAUGUUAUAUAAUCAUCCUUGUAAAAAAAAUAACUUAUCUUGAAGUGUGUCCAUGGUGGAAGAGCUCCUCCUUCUCUCUAGAAACCCAUUCCAAGUUGAAGAACUAACUCUCCCCUUGUUUCAGCCCUUAUAAAAUGGCCCCUAAACCUGCGUAGCCUACGCAUAAAACCUACGCAGGAGGCCUUCCCUCGGCCAAAAUCUGAAAUUGGCUACGCAGGUUGCGUAGUUUGUUACGUAGCUGCACUACCACCUUCUGGUAAAAAGUCCAUAACUCAUUGUACAAAUAUCCAAAUGACAAAUGGUUUGAAUCAUUAGAUACUAGACACAUAGAACUUUCAUUUGAUAGGUCAUAAAUCAUACAACACUUCAUAUAUUGAGAUUUAUGUUUGUUUGAAGUUAAGUCUUGUACAAACUCACUUGAAACUUUACCCCAUCAUAUAAUUUCCAACUUGACUUAGCCUCAGGGCUCUUCUUAGACCAUAAACCAUUCUUAAUACACCUCAUACAUAUAUUAUCAUGAUCAAUUGAUAUCAUUCAUAUUAUUAGUCUUGUUCAUACCCGAAUUAAUAUAAUUAGCACUCGCCAAUCUUCUUAAUGGUCUUAAAACACUUUAAAAAAUUUUGGGAUGUUACACUAUGUCCUUUUGUUCUUAAUUGACAUUAUUUUGAUCAUUUUACCUCUUAAAAGUAUUUUAAUUGUAAAAUAAGCGCAAAAAGAAGUAAGGAGAAAAUUUGGGCAGCUCUCGAGUGGAACCAAUGAAAGAAAAAAAGGUACACUUGUUUGUAAAAUAAUUCACCACUAGCGAAAAUUAAAAAAGGAAAAAGAAAGUUGAAAGAAAAAAAACUCUGAAGAAAAAAAAAGAGAAGGAAAAAUAUAGAUGAAUAAAUUGUUGUCUUGUUCUUGCUAGUGGGGGUAGAACUGAAGUAGUGCUUAAAGAAAGAGGAAAUAUUUUUGGGGUGUGAUCUUGUUGUGAAAUUGAAGUUGAUUGAAGAAUUUGCGCUUAAAGUUAAUCAUGUGAUAUGUUAUAGUGCUUAGGAGGGUGAACCACUAGUCCUAAAUAUAUCCUACCUGUCCCUUAGCCCAGAUUACAGCCAUGAAAAGUUCUAAUUGUUUUAGACCGAGUAAGCCUACAUUAGUGGAGAUUUACAUUAUGGGAAAGACUAUGGUACCAAUUGCAUGCAUGUGACUUCUUUUGUGAGAGUGAGCAAUUUCUUUGAUAUAUGUGAGUCCUUAAACUAUAUUUGAUCAUGAGAUUCGAAUGUGUGAAUUCAACUUACUCUCUAGUUCUUAUUGUGAGGCACAUGGUUUCACGAGAGAUAGGUAAAAUUAUUAGACUUCUCUGCGAUGUGGGUGUUCAAGCCAUGAGUGCAUUGUGAUAUUGAGUCGGUUUUCGAGGUUAGGAUUGUUAUGGGCAUAUUGUCGUCAUUGUGUACAUUUCUUUUGAAGAAUGGCAUAAGAAAAAGGGAAGUGUUUGUGAUUGCAUAUGCUCUAGCUUAAUUUUUGCUAUCAACCGUGGUCAUUGAUAUAGUGUGCUUCGAUUGUGUAAUUGUAAAGUGCUCAAGAAUAGUGUAAUUUGUUGGUUGACUCGAGAGUGAGCAACGUUGAAGUAUGGGGUUGUGAUGUUUGGCUAUAAAUGCAUAUAUUUAGUGCAUUGCUUACCCUACAUUUUAAUAUUUUAGUGAUUAAAUGUGCGAUGUUUGAGACUAAUUAUGUCGUUUUAUGUGUAGGAUUGUUAAAGGAUGAAAAUACAUGAAGGUUGCACACAUGGACGUCAAAGAUACACAAAAAGAGCACCAAAAGGUAGAAAAAUUGAACCAGGAGCCAGAGUGGACGACGCCUGGUCCAGCGCGUUGUCAACCUGGCGUUACAGUGGGCGACACCCACUCUGCAGCGCGUCCCACACCAGGCCUCCCGAGCUCCGAGGCCUGGUCCUUUUCUAGUCCGUGUAUUAAACAUUUUCUUCAUGGAUUUGGGUUUGGGGACUCUGAUCCUAACCUAUAAAUACCCUCUAAACGUGAUUAGUUCGGGGUUGGUCAAUUUUGGAGGAAUCUUCCAGCUUUAAUCUAGUUUUCAUAGCUUUAUGUUUAAAAAUCAUCUUUUGAUUUUUGUGAUGAACAUGAGGAGCUAAAACCCAUAAAUUAUGGGGUUGCGAUUUAGCCAUGAAUAUUGUUGUUUGAAGUUGACUUGA